GUUAAUUAAUCUCAUUGCGCAAGAUACAUACAAAUGCAUGCAAAUGCAUUUUAAUUUCUUGUAUAUAAACUUAUGCUUUUGUAUCAAAAGCGUAAAGUGAGAGGGCCUUUUUCUCCUUGACAUGCACCAAGAAAUGAAAUGAAGGAGAAGAAACUGUGAGCCAAAUUAAGGUCAACUAAUUUUAUUUAGCAAUUAAAAGAUACUAAUUUUCGCUUAGUCGUGUCAAUUUGAGGCUUCUAGAUGUCCACUAGUUGACCUUGGAUAUUCAAGAAAACAAUUCUUCCAUUAAUUGUGUCAUCUCAAGUCUUUUUGGCCGUUUGAUCGAUUGAUGGUAUGUUGAUUUGAGACUUCUAGAAAGAUUUUGUUGUGCUCGAGUCAUGUUAUCUCGGUCGCCUCUGAGUUUCCUGUGCCGUACACAUUAAUUUAAUAUUGAUAUUGAUAUCAUGAAUACGAUUGAUAUCGUGAGUACACAUUAAUUUUCUUUGCCUUUUGUUAAUUUUGUUAGCUAAGAUAUUGUUACAAUUGAUAUCAUGAAUUCAACCAAUUGGGCUUUUAACGAUCGAACCCACUAACACUAAUACUCAUUAGUCAAAAUCAUCAAACCAAAAUAUUUAGAUCAGAUACGUGGCUCAAGAUCACUAGGUGGUGUGAAAUUAUCUCAUCUUUCUAUGUUAUUGACGCUUGGACAAUCUUAUCUUUGUCAUUAAUAUUAUUAUAAAAUUAAAACAAUUUCACACUAUUAUAGAAAGUUAAAAAUAAGAAAUAAAUUUGUUACGUAAUCAAUAUAUUUGUGACUACAUCAACUACGUAAUCUUAUGUUAUCAUAUUUAAAAGACCUACUUUUUUUAACUCUUCAUAACUAAUUAGGCCCUAAUUCUUCAUAAAUUUUCAUAAAAUAUUUGACUAAAUUAUUAUUUUUUAAUAAAAAACACUAAUGUGCAAUACAAGGGCUAAUGAGAUGCUUAUUUUAAAAUUAACCGACUCGAAAAUACUGAAGCAAGGAGAUUCCAACGUCACACCUUUAAUUAUUUUAAAAUAUGUUCCUUUCCAAAGUAACAAUUUAAGAAUUAUACUUUUAUAACAGAAUCAUCUACUUUUGCCAAGCUGCAAUUCAAAUUAUUGACACAUGGCAAUCUGAAUUAAGACAAUAAUGUUAUUCAUUUAUAACAUAUGGUUUAACAACUAGUUUAGUUCGAAAUUGAUCGACGUAAGAUCAUUGAAAUAAAGAAUGUCCAACCCUAUAUCUCUUUAAUUUGCUUUAAAAUAGAUUCCUUGCUAAAGUGGCGAGUGAAAAAUUAUGCUUUUGUUGUGGAAGUAGCUUCUGCUUCCACUAAGUGGCAAUCGAAUGACACGUGGCAAUCUGAUUUAAGACAAUUAUAUUUUUUGUAAUUAAAAAGUUAAAACAAUUAUAUUUUGAAAUUAAUCGACCCAAGAAUAUUGAAGCAAAGAAUUCCUAAUGAUACAACUUUGAUUGUUUAAAAAUAUGUUCCUUCCAAAGUGAAGUGUAGAAUCAUACUUUUGUAGCCGAACCAUCAGCUUUCGCCAUGUGGCAAUCAAAAUUAUUGACGCAUAGCAAUCUGAAUUAAGACAAAUAUAUUAUUCAUGUACAAUCAAAGAGUCUCCAACCGUAUAUCUUAAAUUUUGUUCGCAAUGGAUUCCUUUCGAAUGUAGCGAGUAAAGAAUUAUGCUUUUGUUGCCAAAACCUCUGCUUCCACCAAGCGGUAAUCGGAAUUGUUGAUAUGUGCCAAUAUGAUUUAAGACAAUUAUAUUUUUUUAUAAUUAAAAUUGUUUAAGCUACAAUGGAAAGAGUUAAAAGUAUUUAAAAGAAAAUUGGGCAAGCAAAGCAACAUAUCUAUCUAUAGCGUCAUCUAUCUAUAUGCGAUUAAUUCGUAAAAAAUUACAUGUGGGUCCCACAACCCCCAAAAUAAGUGGAUAAAUUGAUACACUUUAAACCAUAGGGCACUAAAGCGAGAAAGUGCGAAACUACAGGAAUUUAACAGUUGAGACAUAAUCGCUAUAAAAUCAAGAAGAAGUGAGAAGUUGAUUGAAAAAAAAAAAUUAAAAAAUUAGGGACUAAAGUAGAAAUGGUGCAAAGGUUGGGACAAAUGGUGCAAUUGAUCCUCAAUUAAAAAAAAAAAAAAUAUGGGACCCACAAAAUCCCCCAAAUAAGGAGAGCUCUUCUUUUGAUUCCCAAAUCAUAUAUUUAUAAAUUUUAAAUGUAAAUUGAAAUAUCAAAAUCAAAAUAAAAAAUUUAAGUUUGAAAUCAAAAAUUAUAUUCAAUUUAAAAUUCAAAUUUAAAAUUUUAAUUUCAAUUUAAAUUUAAACUUUAAAUUUGAAUUUAAAAUUUUAAUUUCUAUAUACGGCCCACAAUCAAUCAAAAUAAGAAGAGACUCGGUUUAAAAUUUAAAUUUCAAUUUAACUUCAAACUUUAAAUUUAAAUUUAAAAUUUUAUUUUUUGAAUGUAANACCUAUUAGUCAAAAAAAAGAGUAAUUAAGAAGGAGGGGAAUUAACAAGACCAAAUUGUCUAAUUAUCUCUUAAUUGUAAGAAAAAUAAUUAAAGCAGCAUAUGUAUAUAUAUAGAUAUUCAGCACUCAUUAAUCUUAAAAGGAUUCUGAUUCUGAAAAUUAACUCUAAAUUGUACAAUGCCUCUAGCUAGGGAAAUAUUUGAAAUGAUUCAUAUAUAUAUAUAUAUAUAGAGAGAGAGAGAGAGAGAGAGAGAGAGAGAGAGAGAGAGAGAGAGAGAGUGGUGUGUGUGUGCGUUGAGUUUUCAACACCAUUUAAGGAUGAGUGGGUUUCACAUGAAAAAAGCAAAAAAAAAGAAAAAAAAAAAAGUAGGGUGGUUCCAACGGCCCUCGAGUGCGGGGAGAGCUCCUAUAGGUUCCCAAAUCAUGUAUUGAUAUAAAUAAAUAUGUACUAAUUAAUCAAUCCAAGAAUACAUACAUAAGCAAAGAAUCUCACGCCGUACAUCUUUAAUUUGCUUUAAUUAGUUCCUUCUCGAAGUGGCAAGUACAGGAUCAUAUUUUGUAGCUUAAAUUUUUGUUUUUACCGAGGGACAAGCCAAAUUAUUGAAAUUUGUAUUUGUUUAUUUCUUCGAAAGUAGAGAUAUGUAAAGUAAUUUUCGUCAUAAAUGCCUACUUCUAUAGUUUUGUUUACCAUAACUCCACAUUCAAGGGUAUGUUUAUUUGAAUGGAAGUGAGGUGGAAGUGAAGAGAGGGAAGUCGUUUUCCUCAUAAACGAUCACUUUCGUUGUUUGGUUCGCCAUAAAAAAAUUAAAGUCGAAAUUCAAGUUAAUCUGAAAUAGUGUAAUUUACUUAAGCCGAAGUCAACUACAAUGAAUGGAGGUGAAGUAAAAAAAUAAUAAAAUAAUAUACUAGAUAAAGUUAGUUAUACUUAAAUAUAUUUAAUUAUGGUACUAAUUACUCUUUUAUUCAUUUGGUAUAUUUAAAAUAUGAUAAAAAUUGAUUAGGUAAGUUUUAAUAUUUUAUUUAUUUAGUUUGUAUAAUUAAAAUAUGAUAAAAAUUGAUUAAUUAAGUAUUAAUAUAUUUUUACUUUAUAAUUUUAUUGGUGUAUUACUAUAAUUUACGUAUAAAAAAUAAUUUAUUUGUUUUAAAUUAAAUUUUAAUUAUAUAAAAAUAUAAUUAUAUUAUUUUUAUUUAUUAAAUUAUUUAUUAUUUAUACAUAAAUUAUAAUUUUACAUCAUACACUUCUUACCAAACAAACAGCAGAACUAAAGAAACUUCACUUUCAUAACCACAAAAUAAAUAGUGAGGAAGAAAUAGUUUUCACCGAACUUCAUUUCGAUUCAAAGUUCAGUUUCGGUGAAACAAAUAUGCCCUAAUCGAAACUCAAACUUUUCCAAAUGCCGUAAUUGACUUCGGCCUAUUUUGGACCGAAGGUAAUUAGGAAAAAAAAAGAGAGAAAAAUAAUAAAAUAGCAAUCACAAAAAACUUUAGCUUUUACGUCAUUAACGUUCUGCGAAACAAACAGUAGAAUUAAGCCCAAACCAUCGGUCCAAAAUAUUUAAACGUAGUUAUUAUUAUUAGGGUCCAUGAACUUUUAUAUACCUAAUCGCAAGUCACAGACUCUCCCGUUUAGGUCAUGAUGUCCUCGUCAACCCAAUUACAUACACACACCCAAAAUCACCAAGCGAUGUGAGAACUACCUCACUCUUUCGACUGGUGAACAGACUCUGAUAUUAUAUGUAUCGAUCCGAUUCGCUAGCAAUAAUAAUUCAUUGGGCCCAAACCAGCAGCCCAAAAUAUUUUAGCACAGUUAUUAUUAUUAGGCUCCAUAAUCUCUUAUAUAUCCAAUCACAAUUUUGUUUCCAAUCACAAUUUCGUUUUCAUGCGAUGUAGGAAUAUUAAAGUUUUCGUGCAAUGUAGGAAUAUUAAAGUGUCACACCGUUAUAAAAACAAAUUGUUUGGCAAGCUAGAAUAUCAGUUAGGUGAAGCUAUCCUUGCAACUACCCGACCUGCUAGCAAUAAUAACUCGUUGGGCCUAAAUCACCGGCCCAAAAUGCUUAAGCCCGGCUAUAAUUACUAGCGUUUAGGCCUCAUAUAAACCGAUCAGAAUCAGUAUCCCAUUCAAUGUGAGACUAUUGUGGAACUAUUGGAGUGUUACAAUCCUGGACGAGAAUCUCAUCUAAUUAUGUGUACAAUUUUGAGGUAAAAGUCUACAUGCCUAGCAUUGUAGUUUCUGUAAUUGUAAUGUAAAGGACUUAAAAUAGGAAAAGUGCACCUUGCGCAUAAUGUGUUCGUAUAGAUAGAUUCCUUAGUAGAGGUAUAUACAUGUACUAAUUAAUCAACUUAAGGAUAAAGAAGCAAGGAAUUUUGAGCCGUACACCUUUAAUUUGCUUUCGAAUUGGUUCCCUCUUAAAGUGGCAAGCAAAGGAUCAAAGUUUCGUAGCUUAAAUUUCUUAUUUCACUGAGCGACAAGCCAAAUUAUUAACCCCUGGGGUCUGUCCGUUUCACCAAAAGUGGAGUGGAGUGAAUUCAUUUUUAGCAUAAAUGUUCACUUUUAUUGUUUGGUUUAUCAUAUAUAACUCCAUUUUCAGUCGAAGCGUAAACUUUCAAAAUCUCGUAAUUGACUUCAGACUACUUUGGGCCGAAAUAUUAAGUAUGAAAACUUUAGCUUUUAUGUUAUUAACUUUCUGCCGAACACACAGCAGAACUCGAAAAAAAAAAAAAAAAGUUUCACAAUUAUAAAAAUAAAUUGUAUAAAAAUAAAUUAUAUGUAAUUAGUAUGUCUAUCUAUGGAAACAAAGAGCUUUAUACAACGAGUUUAAAAUAAAGAGCUUUAAACCCACUAUCAGCCAGCCCAAAAUGCUUUCAACCAAAUUGUAUGUUUAUUUAUAAAAUAAGGAGCUUUCAAUCAGAAAUUGUCCUGCAUAACACACUUAUCUCUCAUACUUUCGACUGGUAUUCGACUCUAAGACCAAUUGCAACAACCCGACCCGCUAGCAAUAAUAACUUGUCGGAUCCAAACCACCGGCCAAAAUACCUAAGCCCAAUUAUUAUUACUAAAAUGUAUGUCUCAUAUAUUCUAAUCCGAAUAAGUUUCUCACCCGAUGUGGGAUUAUUAGGACGUUACAGAAAAUAACUAAGUUUUAAUUUUAUUUUAAAUUUUUAUAAAACAAAUUAUGUUUCUCAAAAUUAAUUUACUAUUUUUUAAAAAAUAAAAUUUUAAAAAAUAUCAGCAUGAAACGCAUGGGUCAGCAACCAAUUUAUUUUGAAAUUAAUUAGUCAAAUACUAUAUAAAUCAAAGAAUCGCCAACUCAACACCAUUAGUUUGCUUUAAAAUGAUUUUUUUUUUUUUCAAAAUUGCACGUAUGGAAUGAUACUUUCAUACCCAAAAAUAUAAUUUGUCUAGAGAGUUAAAAACAGGAAAUAAAUUUGGUAGGUAAUUACUAAAUCUAUCUCUAGAUCCAUCUUUUGUUUACUUGCUUUAGAGUUUGUUCCUUUCCAACAUAACAAGGAAUCAGAUUUUUUUUUUUUUCUUUUUCUUUUUUCCUCGUACCUGCCUAUAAAUACAUUCUAUUAUAGUUGUUCCUUUAGCAAGUUGAAAGCCUUUAGCAUACUCUCAUAUUGCAAGGAAGACCUAUACUAUGGAUUUGUGGUCACCGGGCUGAGUGAAUGAGCGCAUGAAGGAAUGCUCUGGACAGCGGUAGAAAGAUACGAUGUUCGAUACUCACGUAAAUGGACAACAAGCCAUUUGGAUAUGUCUGGUGUUUUUUCUCCUUAACGCACAAACAGGCAUUUAGUCAUUCGGAUUCUGUCUGGGCUCUUCCUCCUUGACGCACAAAUAGGCAUUUAGUCAUUCGGGUACGCACUUAUUUAAUUUCUUACAUAUUCUUACUACUUAUUGUUUGUUGUUUCGUUAUUUUUCUGAUUCUGUUAUUGGUCAUUGUAACUAAGGUUUAAGGCUUCUUUUCUUUUCAAUAAGGAUUAAGCUACUUGAAUAAUACAAUUACACGACCAUAAGAAAAUAAUUAACUCCUAAUAAUAUAAAGUAGUAACUAUUCAUUAAAUCAAGCUUAGAAGGAAGGAAAUAACAAUUUAAUAUGGUAUGUAAUUAGGAGAUUUGUUACGAUUACAUGUUUGAACACACAUUAUAUACAAUAUCUAUUGGAUUUCGAAGGGAGUCAAUGUUCUAUUGGUUUAUUUUAGUUUUCCUUCGCAUUCUUUUAUGGCCUAAUUGUAAUCGCCAUUUUCUUGGUCAUCCAAACUCACAACUCUUAAAAUUAAGAUGAAAACUAUGGUAUAUGGUUUAUGAAACAAUAUAUAUUCCUUUCCAUCGUAGCAAGUGAAGAGUUAGACUUUAUUUUUCCUACUUGCUUAUUAAUUCAUUUUUUUCUAAUUGCUUUGUUCAGCAAGUUGAAAGCUGUUUGGAUCUCUCUGCUGCUCUUUCUCCCUAACACACGAAUAAUAUUAAAUCAUUCGGGUACGUAAAUAUUUAAUUUCUCGCAUUAUUCUUAUUACUUAUCUUUUGAUUUUUGUUUCGUUAUUUAUCUGGUUCUGUUAUUGGUUAUUGUAAUUGAGAUUUAAGGCUUUUGUUUAUUCAAUAGGGAUUAAGCCCCUUAAAUAACAUGAUUACAUGACUAAAAAAAAAGGAAACUUCUAAUAAUAUAAGGUAAUUAUUCAAAUAUUAAAUCAAGCUUCCAAGGAAGGAAAUAACAUUCUAAUAUGGUAUGUAAUUAAGAGAAUUUGUUGUGAUUAUAUGCCUGAACACAAAUAAUAUAUAAUAUCUAUUGGAUUUCGAAGGGAGUCAAUAUUUUGUUGUUUUAUUUUAGUUGUCUAAUUGUAAUUGCCAUUUACUUGUUCAUUCAAACUCAAACUCUUAAAACCCAAAUGAAAACCAUGGUAUUUAUGAUACAAAUAUAUUGUUUUUCUAACACAACUUAUUUUUAAACUAUUUGAUACUUUAGCAAUAGUUUUCAAAUCUAUAAAUUUUUAUGUAUAAACUGUGUAGGUUUUAGAUUACGUUUUUUUUUUUNGAAGGAAAUAACAUUCUAAUAUGGUAUGUAAUUAAGAGAAUUUGUUGUGAUUAUAUGCCUGAACACAAAUAAUAUAUAAUAUCUAUUGGAUUUCGAAGAGAAAAAAAAUAGCAAGCUACCUGCCAAAUAUAAAAUGACCAACCAGUUCUAGCGGUAGAAAGCUUAACAUUUAAUUUAAAGGUUAGUUUCACGAGUGUCCCUCUACAUUUAUCUAAGUACAUAGAAACCCUCCAAAAAUUAUCAAUAUCAAAUAUACUUCUUAAAUUUAGAAAGAUUAUAUGGCUUAAGCCGUUAACUUUUAGUUUUUCUAGCCAUUUAAAUCCGCUUAACUAAUGAAUUUUUUCAAAUUACGUUAUUUUAGACUGAAAAUUAGAGGAUUUUAUCAAAUUUAUUAGUAAUUUCACUAAAUUUAAUGACUUCAAUUACUUUUUAGCAUAUAGCUGAGAGGGUCUCCGCAAUCUUUUGUCACGCCCCCGGGGUCCCUUUUAGUUUAAAAGGUAGCGGAAAAGCGUCUGAAAAAUUUUUUUUUAAAAAUCUGACCCCAGAGUGUGCCAGAUCCGCCACAAAUACAGGAGCUCCACUGUUCACACGGACAGAGUCUCCCCUGUAUUUGCACGGCGUCGCACAAGUACAACAGAGUAUAGAUACACAUACAAUCACAACCACAACCAGAUGAACAACAAGAUAGAUAACAUUCAUCCAUUCCAUUCACACACACAGAUAUGAUACUUGAAUUAUGAAUAACAUUCCACAUCUAUCAGUUAAAAUGUUUCCUACCUGGAAACUGAUUUUGAAAUACUAAAUCCAUAGAACCACAGAAAAAUCAAUUUAAAAACUAAUCCCCACACGGGAACCAUUCUUUUCAAACCAGCUACCACGAGGGGUAGAAAACUGUUUUAUUUCAAGAAAAACUCAAAUCCUUUAGUGCAUUUCAAAACCAAUUGAAAACCAGAUAAUCAGAUAAUAAAAUAGAAACUGAACCAUAAUAUGUCUAAGUAUUUAUUCGAGCAUGAAGGGUAAAAGGGAUAACCGACUCGGGAAGGAGCUCUAUCGCACGCUAGACACGCUCCUCACCAGCUGUCCCACUCGGACCUGCUACGUCACCUGUAAUGGGGGCGGGGGGUGAGAACAUGUAAACAUGUCUCCCCUCCCAGUGGGUACCGCAAGCCGAAGGAGGCGAGGGGUACUCACUAGUCACGGAGAUAAACAAAUAUACGGAUAAUGAUAGUACAGUAGCUAAGAUAAACAAGUGCUGAAAUGAAUAUAAAUGAACAACUACAGCUACUGUAUGUAUGCAUCAACGGGACAAUCAAUCCAAAAGUACCCAAUCUGAACCACUGCUCUCUUGGUCAGCACCGCAGACCUCAAGCCAAUGCCACUACUACUCUCCAGUGCAUAUAACCCUUCUAGGGCUCACGGGUUGUCACCAUUCAACCACUUUUCCGGAAAAGAACACUCCUUGCGGUGGAUCAGACCGCCAGUGUUCGUGAAAUGCGACGAGUAUCGGGCGAUCAAUGCAAUAUGCUCAAUGAUCAACCGUCGGCAACCAGCCGACAAUCCUGCCCCCCAGGGCCCAUCGACCGCAUGGGUCAUCAUGUAACCAAAUCGACCAACCAGGUCACAAAUAUGGAGUAUGAAACUCGACCAACCAGGUCAUAGAUACAACAAAGGAGAAUCAACCAACCAGAUCACAGAUAUCAUAUGCUGAAGAAAUCUACUCUACUCCUACACAAGAUACCGAGCAUGCAAACAACCGAGUAGAGUAAUACGAGGAUAAUAUGAUAAGCAAAGUAUAUGAUAAGCAAUGUAAAUAGGAAGGGUGGAAGGAACGUCACCGAGCGUGCACCACUGUACCGACGUCGGGUCGAAGUACCCACCUGUAUGUAUCCGACGAAGGUCUCUCGACUGUGAAGACGGUGCAACCGAACCUACGAAAGGUCCACGGGUUAAGGUCUAACCCACUGACAUGAAAAGCUAACUCACAACCCCUGCUAACCAAAACCACGACCGAUUUCCCAAAACCGAUUACCAAAUAAGCCGGAAGUCCCGAAAACUGCACCGGAACUUUCUCGUCGCUCCCCCGUCGUUUCCGAACCCUCAAAACGACGCGGGUGACCAGCCAACCAGGCUCAGCGACGCCACAAUCAGCCACGAGGCACCGUCGGAUGAAAUCCGAACCGAAACCGCGUUCUAUCGGCAGAUUUCGCCGAAAAACGCCUCGGAAAUCACUUUUCGAUUUCCGCAAAGGCUUGGGGCCUUGGACGAUCAGUCCAGAGGUUACCCUCAGCAUUUACACGCUGUCCACAGCAUCUACAACGAAGCAGAAAGCCUAAAAGCCGAUACCGAUACAUGAAAUUGCAUCAUUUCAUGUGAUUUCUAGGCUUUUCUGGACCGUGCACGCAAACCGGAGGUCGAUUAAUCCGACCGUCGUACUUGCUGACAGGUUUCAGCAUGUCGGAGGCCGUGCUCACCUUUCGGAGCACUGCCGGCCACUGCGGUGCGCGCACGAGCGACGCGAAGUACUGAAAAACUGCGCGCACAGCGCGAAGAUCGCGACUAACUCACAAACCAGGGCAUCUUUGCCGCUGUUGGAGGUGAGCACGAUGUUCAGCACGAGUUGUAGAUCAUCGUGCUCACUUCCCGAAACUUAGAAGGCUUCUCGGAUCACCGGAAAAGAGACCGGAACCUCGGAAAACAGUGCUGGAACAUAAAAUGUCCUUACCAGACCCGAGGAGAGCUAGGGUUGGUCGCCGGCGGCCGGGAGGCGGGCGGUCCGGCCGGAGGAGGGAGCACUCGGUCCAGGAGGUCCGGGGAGGGUGCUGGCCGGCGGCGGGCAGCAACCGGUGGCGCGGCGGCUGAGAUCCACCCAGCACACCUCCUCUCGGGUUUGAUCUUCCCGGCGGCGCGGCGGCGGCCGGAGGGGAUCGGGGCGGCGACGGUUCGGCGCCGGAGGUCGAGGGGGAGGCCGUGCACCCUACGGUGGGCUGCGGCAGCGCCUAGAAGCUGGGCGGGCCCGACCUCGGCCCGCACGUGCCUGGGCGGCCCCAGGAAGUUCCAGCGGCGGCCGGCGGCGCGCGGGGACGGCGGGGGACGCGCGCGCCGGGUUGCCGGAGGUCGCCGAGGCCGACUGGAGGGCGGCGCGGCCGAAGUGAGGCGAGGACGCAGCACUCGAGCCGGCUCGGUCUGGGCUGACCCGAGCUGGCUGCAGGGAGCCGGGGUGGCUCCGGCGGCGCUCGAGGGUGGCCGGGGCCGGCGGGGGAGGACGCCGGAGGAGAGCCUCGGCCAGGGGAGGGUGGAGCUCGGCUUUGAAGCUUUCCCGAGCACAACAAUCGAAAAAGGGUGGCAGGUCGGCUAGGGGAGAGCUGAGAGGUGGCCGGGGUGACUUUUCCGGCGGCCGGAGCAGCCUGCCGGCGGCCGGGGCGUGAGCACGAGUUGGGCAAGGAGAAGGUGGGGUGGUUAGGGCAGCUGGGGAAAAUUAGGGUUAGGGUUUCCUUAGCCGAACCCUAAAACCCCACUUAUAUCACAUGACUAAUUGUCGAAAACCCCUCCUAGUCCAAUACCCUUUUUACCAAGCCCCCUGCCAACAUGUGGAAAAUCCGCAUAGGUCCCUCGACAUUCGAAUUCGCGCAAGAUCGCGCAUAAAAUAUUGGACCUUUUCGCGAUUAAUCGGUUUUGCCAACUUGACCUCUUAGCGGACUUUUCACGAUUCCCGAAGAUCCGUCCGUCGGAUUUCCGAACGGAUUGCGCCAUCGCGUUCAGUACGACUGGGGCGUCGAAUCUAGCAUUUUACUUUAUCCGAUCUGGUCUCCGAUCAGCGUCAAAACCAGCCCUCUUUGAUUCCACCCAAAUAACCAUUUAUGUAUUUUCCAUUAAACCCCUUUUUCUCGACAACCGUGCAUCAGAACCUGAUUCCGUCAGUGCCAUUGGGUCCAGGAUAGUCGAGCGGUUGAAAACGAGCUAUUGGAAGGCUAUAAUCGGAGUCCGAUACGCGUCGAAAGUCCACUCUACUUCUCGGCCUCUCCGGAAAACCGGAGUUACUAUUCACUUAAGUCGAACUUUCGGGUCGCGUAACUUCUCCGUUUUAACUCGUUUUCUCCUGAAAUUUGACGAGUACACUUAUAAUUAUAUUACACACAAGAACAUCGUCAAACAAAAGGGUUUAAUCAAUAAAUGAAAUAUCUCAGUUAUUACAUCUUUACCAUGUGGCAAGCCAAAAAUUUAGUUAACGCAUGACAAUCUUAUUUACGACAAUUAUAUUAUUUAUAACUAAAAGAAUUUUAGAUUAUUAAGCAAUCAGUGUAUUUAUCUAUAACUACAUCUAAUGUAUAAACAUAGCCAAUCUUAAUUUUUUAAAAAAAAAUUAUCUAUGUAAAUAAUUACCUUUUAGAGUUUUUUAUAAAUUUUUAUAAAUUUAUUUUUCAAAAUUAGUAGUUUAUAUAAUUUUAAAAAAAAAGAUUUUAAAAACAUUCAUGUGGAACGAGUGGGUUAACAACUAGGUCAAUGACUAGUUUAUUUUGAAAUUAAUUAAUCCAAGAAUACAGAAGCAAAGAAUCUCCAAUUCUAUAAUUUUGAUUAGAUUUAAAAUUUGUUCUAUUCUAAAGUGCUAAGUAAAGAAUCAUACUUUUAUAGCUGAAACUUCUGUUUUCGCUAAGGAUAUGUUUGUUUGGAUGGAAGUGGGUUGGAAAUGGCAAGGGGGGAAGUCGUUUUCGCCAUAAACAACUACUUCCGUUGUUUUGUUUGCCGUAAAAGUUAAAAAGUUACGAUCGAAAUUCGAGUUAACUUCAAACGGCGUAAUUAAUUAACUUCGGCCCAUCAAAGUCAAUUACGGUGAAGAAAAGUAAAGAAAAAAAUAAUAAAAUAAUAUAAUAGUUAAAGAAAGUUAUAUUUAAGUAUAUUUAAUUAUAUUACUAUUUUUUUUUUUUAGUUGGUAUAUUCAAAAUAUGAUAAAAAUUGAUUAGUUAAGUUUUAAUAUUUUUUUAUUUAGUUUGUACAAUUAAAAUAUAAUAAAAAUUGAUUAAUUAAGUAUUAAUAUUUUUUAUUUUAUAAUUUUAUUGUUGUAUUACUAUAAUUUAUAUAUAUAAAAAUAAUUUAGUUGUUUUAAAUUAAAUUUUAAUUAUAUAAAAAUAUAAUUAUACUAAUUUUAUUUAUUAAAAUAUUUAUUAUUUAUAUAUAAAUUAUAAUUUUACAUCAUACACUCCCUACCAAACAAAUAACAGAACUAAUAAAACUCCACUUCGUUAACUACGAAACAAACAGUAAAAAAAUAGUUUUCACCGAACUCCAUUUCAACCCAGAGUUUACUUCAACAUAAAAUCCAAUUUCAGUAAACCAAACAUGUCCUAUAAGUGACAAGCCAAAUUAUUAACACGUGGAAGUCUUACUUAUGGCAAUUAUGUUUUUAUAAUUAAAAUAAAUUUAGACUAUUGUGGGAAGAGUUAUAAAUAGAAAAGAAAUUCAAGUAUGCAUUCAGUACAUUUACCAAUAGCUAUAUCUACUAUAUUAUCUUAUCCAAUUCUAUUCUAAAAAAAAAAAUUAUCCCUUCAAGUAAUUAGGUGUUAAUUUUUUUAAUUAAAUUUCAUAAAAUAUAUCAUUUUUUUCUAAAAUUAAUUUAUUAUUUUUUAGAAAGUAAAAUCUUAAAAUUGUUCGUGUGCAACACAUGUGUUAACGGCUAUUUUAUUUUGAAAUUAAUUGACCUAAAAAUAUCGAAGCAAAGAAUCCCCAACUCUACUUCACUAAUCUUUAAUUUGGUUUCAAAUGGGUUCAUUUCCAAAGUGAGAAGCAAAAAAUUAUACUUUUGUAACUGAACCUUGUAAUUUUGCCACGUGGCUAGCUAAGUUGUUGACACAUGGGAUUCUUAUUUAAGACAAUUAUAUUGUUUAGAAUAAUUUAAAAAAGUUUAAGCUAAGCAAUCCAAUGAUAUUAAAGCAAAGAAUCCCAAGCCCUACAAAGCGGCAAGUAAGAAAAACAUCCUUUUAAUUUGUAGCCAAAGCUUUCUAAGUCAAAUUAUUGAUACGUGACAAUCUAACUGUAACAACAUCUGAUCUACUAACAAUAAUAACUCGUUUGGGCUAAAUCAUUAGGCCAAAAUACUUAAACUCGGUUAUUAUUAUUAGGAUCUCAUUUCCAUCCGAUGUGGAUGUGGGACUAUUAGGGUGUCACAGAUUCCACGCAAUGUGAGAUCCACCUCAAACUUUAGGCCAUAACGUUCUUGUCAGCCCAAUCAUACAUAUAGCCCAAUGUUAAUAGGCGAUGCGAGAUUCUAACUAGUGAGCUAACUCUGAUAUUAAAUCUAACUAUUCAAAUCAUUAGCAAUAAUAACUCGUUGGAUCUAAACUACCGGUCCAAAAUACUUAAAAACAGUUAUUAUUACUACGGUCCAUGGUGUCUAUUUAUAUUUUUGAUAUGGGACUAUUGGAAUAUCAUACUAACAACAAUUAUAAGGUUUUAUAAAAAGAAGUUUUAAAUUACUGUCGAAAAAGCAUGAAAAACCCUUGGUCAUGCAAUCAAUAUAUUUGUCAUACCCGGGUGAAGAAAAUGUUUAUUUUGAAAUUAAUCGGCCCAAGAAUAUUGAAGCAAGGAAUCUCAAACGCUAAAUUUUUAAUUUGUUUAAAAUAUGUUUCUUUCUAAAGCGACAAGUAAAGAAUCAUACUUUUUUGGCUGAACCAUUUGUGUUUACCAAGCGGCAAUCUAAUUAAUUAAGACAAUUAUAUUAUUCAUGUGCAACUUACAGAUUAACGGCUAGUUUAGAUGGAAAUUGAUCGACACGAGAUUAUAAAAAUAAAACCCUAUGUCUUUAAUUUUUAUUAAAAUGGGUUUCUUGCCAAAGUGGCGAGCCGAAGCUUUUGCUUCCACCAUGUGGCAAUCGAAAUUACUCAUAUGUUACGGCACACCUAGGAUUUAAAAUAGUCCGAUAUAUGAGAUGUAAUAGGGUUAAGCUUCUUAAUACUAUGUAGCAUUUUGAGCGAUGGUUAGAUUCGAGAGAUUAAAAUGGUUAAGCAUGCUAAAAUUAGAAUAGUUCUAGUAUAGAGAAAGCGGGGCAUCAUACAUGCAGCAAUUUUUUUUACGACUAUUAUAUUUUUACAAUUAAAAAGGUUUCAAAAUCAAAUAAUCUCCAACUCUACAUCUUUAGUUUGCUUUAAAAUGGGUUCUUUUUUCCAAAUUGGCAAGUAAAGAAUGAUAUUUGUGUAAGCAAAGUUUUUACUUUCAGUCAACAGCACGCCAAAUUAUUUACAUAUGUGACAAUCCUUUUUAAGACAAUAAUAUUAUUUGUAUAAACCAUUAAAACUAGAAAAAUAAAUUUGGUUUGCAAUAAGUAAAUCUAUCAGUCGCUGCAUCUUAAAUUUCCUUGCUUUAAAAUAUGGCUAAAUUACAGAAAACCUCCCUGUAAUAACCCGCUUUUUCACUUUCCCCCCCUGACAUUUAAAAACCUACACUUUGCCCCCUUGUAAAAUGAAAAAUGUGCACUUCACCCCUUCCGUUAGGGUUCCGUUAGGGGUUCUGUUAAAAAAUAUUUUUUUAUACCGAAAAUACCCCUCUGCCUCUUCUCGGAUGCUUCGCUCCCUCCGGCUCGCCGCUUCGCCGCUUCGCCGCCUUGCCGCCUCGCCGCCUCGCCGUCCUCCACUGCUUCGCCCUCGCCCACGUCCCCUUCGUCCUCCUCCGCAGCCUCGUCUUCGCUCUCGUUGUCCCUGUCUACCUCUCCAUCAACACCCAUCGCCGAAAUCGAUGGGCGGCGACGGUGUAGGAGGAGAAGGGGAGCUGGUGGAGAAGAAAUUUGAGAGGAAUCGUGGCCGAUUGAGGUGGAAAACCGGCGGAUCGAAGGGGCGGCUGAGGAAGCUCAGGAAGAAGACAACAAUGGCGAGGGGCAAAAUGGUCAUUUUACACACCGUAACCCCCCUGUGAACAUUUUUCAUUUUACAAGGGGGCAAAGUGUAGGUUUUUAAAUGUCAGGGGGGGAAAGUGAAAAAGCGGGUUAUUACAGGGGGGUUUUCUGUAAUUUAGCCUUAAAAUAUACUCCUUCCCAACAUAGCAAGUAAAGAGUAGGACUUUAUUUCUCAUACUUGCUAAUUAAUACAUUACUUUCUAAUUGCUUUGUUCAGCAAGUUGAAAGCCAUUUGGAUCUCUCUGCGGCUCUUUAAUUUCUCCAUAACGCACAAAUACAAAUUUAAUCAUUCGGGUACGCACACAUUUAAUUUCUUACAUUAUUCUUAUUACUUAUCUUUUGAUUUUUAUUUCAUUAUUUUUCUGAUUUUAUUAUUGGUUAUUGUAAUUGAGAUUUAAGGCUUCUUUUUAUUCAAUAGGGAUUAAGCCCCUUAAAUAACAUGAUUACAUAACUGCAAAAAAAAAAAAAAGAACUUCUAAUAAUAUAAGAUAAUUAUUCAAAUAUUAAAUCAAGCUUUGAAGGAAAGAAAUAACAUUCUAAUAUGGUAUGUAAUUAAAACCCAAAUGAAAACCAUGGUAUAUGGUUUAUUAAACAAAUAUAUUGCUUUUCUAACACAGCUUAUUUUUUAAACUAUUUGACACUUUAGCAAUAGUUUUAAGAUCUAUAAAUUUUUAUGUACAAACUAUGUAACGCUCUAGAUUAGGUGUUUUUNNNNNNNNNNNNNNNNNNNNNNNNNNNNNNNNNNNNNNNNNNNNNNNNNNNNNNNNNNNNNNNNNNNNNNNNNNNNNNNNNNNNNNNNNNNNNNNNNNNNNNNNNNNNNNNNNNNNNNNNNNNNNNNNNNNNNNNNNNNNNNNNNNNNNNNNNNNNNNNNNNNNNNNNNNNNNNNNNNNNNNNNNNNNNNNNNNNNNNNNNNNNNNNNNNNNNNNNNNNNNNNNNNNNNNNNNNNNNNNNNNNNNNNNNNNNNNNNNNNNNNNNNNNNNNNNNNNNNNNNNNNNNNNNNNNNNNNNNNNNNNNNNNNNNNNNNNNNNNNNNNNNNNNNNNNNNNNNNNNNNNNNNNNNNNNNNNNNNNNNNNNNNNNNNNNNNNNNNNNNNNNNNNNNNNNNNNNNNNNNNNNNNNNNNNNNNNNNNNNNNNNNNNNNNNNNNNNNNNNNNNNNNNNNNNNNNNNNNNNNNNNNNNNNNNNNNNNNNNNNNNNNNNNNNNNNNNNNNNNNNNNNNNNNNNNNNNNNNNGUAGCAAUUAAGCUACCCACCAAAUAUCAAAUGACCAACCAACUAGUGGUGGUAAGCUUAAUUAACAUUUAAUUUAAGGGUUAAUUUCAUGAGUGUCCCUCUACCCAUAUCUAAUUACAAAGAAACCAUCCAAAAAUUGUCAAUAUCAAAAAUACUUUUUACAUUUAGAAAGAUUAUAUGGCUUAAAUGCUCAUUUUAACCCUCUUACCUUUUCAAUUGCUGUAAUAUAUAUUAUUUUCAAAAAAAGAAUGCAUUUUUUAUUAAUUAGUAUUCUUAUGUUUAUAUUUUUAUUACUUUUAUUUAGACUACUUUGGGUAUCCUAAAUAAGGAAGCUAUUCCAAGAGACAUAAAUUAAUACAAAAGUCACAAAUUAUAUGUUAAUUAACUAUUAUGAGGGGUAAAUACGUCUUUUUGGUAUUCUAACUUAAGCAAAUUUGACGAAAUUAAUGGACAUUUGCAAUAUAAUUUAUAGAUUUGUAGGAGUAAUAUUGAUAUAUAUUGACAACUUUGAAGAGGUAUCUUUGAUAUUUUUUAAAUUUUGAGGGGCAUGUUUGAAUUGCCCCUAAAAAAAAUGUUCAAAAAAUCAAACUUUCCAUUGAUCACCCCUAAAUCGAUAUGAAAAUUUUCCUUGUAAAGUUUAAUAUCAAUGUAAAUAAUUUUAAAGGUGUGUGAAAAAGUUUUAAAACAUUUUACAUAAAGUGAAAAAAUUUGUAUUUAAUUAGUAAUAGAGAAUCUGAAAGGCUACGAAGGUUUAAAUUUUUAUUUAAUUAUAUUUAUUAGUGGAAUAUUUUAAGUUUAGGUUUUCUUAGUUGAUAGAGUAAUUAAUAAAUCAAGAGUCUAAAACAUAUUUAGUACUGCACAAGUAUAGAUAAUUUAUUUAAUUUUUUGCUUUAUAGUACAAUGUAGAUGCAGAUAUAGAUGGGCAAAAUUGCGCUCGUAAACGCACGUUUAGAAUGAAAAAUUAUAGCAGAACAUAAACAAUUUAAUCAAAACGUAGUAAGCGAAAAGAAAUGAAAUUUUAUUUAAAUGAAAAGGGAAAAUUAUUUAAUUUUACUUACUAAAGAGUGAUUAAAACUAUUUAACUUGAUAAAAUCUCAUCAAGCAAUUUGAUAAAUUGAUCCUUUUUUUUUCCUUACAGUUACUUAGUUCUAAAAAAUCAAAAUUAGUUCCAGAAAAAGUGUAAAUCCAAAAAUAAAUAAAUUAAUUAAUUACUUAUAAGUUAUAACAAGGAAAACCUUUUCACCAUCGUAGUUAUAGUGCAUAGGAUUUGCAACACCUAAUCAAAUAUCUCCCUAUUACAUAAAAAUAAAAUAAAAUAAAAUUACUAUUUUAAUGUACAAUUACUUUUUCUUUUCUUUUUUUUCUAAUCGGGCUUUUUUUUUUUUCUAACUGUUUUAAUUUACAACCCAUUCAACUUAAUUUUUAAGAUUUAAAAUGCAUUUAAACAAAUUUUAAAAUAUAUAAAAUUAUAAGUUUAAAAUCAUCAAAAAUUAUAAGUUUAUUAAUUUUCAAACUUUAAAAAUAAAUAAUGUAAUAUUUAAAACUGUGUAAAUUUAAUACUCUUUAUUUUCAAAGCUUUUAAUUCGUAAUAAUUUAAUAUUUCACAAUCUCUUACAUACGUACCUUCAAGUAGCCACAACCCACAACGGGUGUGUGUGUGUCUAAAAUUAUGAAAAUAUCUCAAUUUGUAAUUAAUUAGAUAUACUGUUUUUGUUUGAAUAAUAAAUCAUAUAUAUAUAGAGGCCAGGUUAAUUUGUAGCUAGCGAGCAGGGAGAAUUAUUAAUUAAGAAAAGAAAAGAAAGCUACAAAUUAAUUGACUAGCUCGAUCGAUCGGUGAAUAUAUAUAUAUAUUAUUCUCUGCACAGAUGGAUGACGAUCGAUUAAAUUAAAACCCAGCUAUCAACAUGAGCAUCCGGCGGUUUCCCUACGAAAGGCAAAAGGAUUUUGUGCUUGAAACCUUGCUCAAUGGAUCCUAUCAGAAGAUCUACGUGGAGGCAUGGGAGGGAGUCGGGGCGACCGCUUUACUCCGAGAGGUGGCGGAAGCGGUCGAGAAGUCGGAGAAGCGCGAGUUUGAGACGGUGAUCAAGGUGGUGCGGCCCGCACCAUUUCGGAACGGCAGGGAGAUGCAGAGGGCGGUGGCGGAGCAGCUGAAUCUUCUACUACGAUCUCCUUCGGUGACGGCUGCUGCUUUCGACGCGGCGGACGAAAACGACGACUUCUCGGGUGUGGAAUUCAGCUCAAGAGGCCUGCUUUUGGAGGUCGCAAAGGAGAUCUACCGAGCUGUGGAGGGUCGUAUCGUGCUGCUCGUCUUUUGCAAUAGUAUUGCGGAUGACAAAUUAAUUGACCCUAUUGAUUUGGGUAUUCCUAUCAUAAAGGGGUUGAUCAGCAAUGCGGUGUUGUGGACCUCUGGGAUGACUAUUAGCAGGGAAGCCACGUCAGUGACUGCGGAUUAUAUCGUAAGGUUUCGGCCAUCAAACGAAACAACCGCACUUGAUCUUGUGUACAAGGAGGCCGUCGAGAUUGCCCGAUAUAUUGACGAGAGCAGCGGUGGGCGCUUGCGGACCACCACGGAAUUAGUCCUCCGCUGCUUUUGGUAUUGCCUGCUGUUGUUGCGUAGAGCAGCGUUUAACCGAUCGGCACUACUACCCGAUGGUGGUCGGCCCCUGGAAGAUGCUGCCAAGUAUUUUGUGUGCGACGGAAUUUUACCAGGAGAUGAUGCGGCGGCAUGGGAGAUUGGGAAAGCACUAGCUCCGGUGAUUGGACCCAUAGUAAAUGAUCAACAACUGCAAUAUUGGCAGGAAGAAUUAACCUCUUCCACUUGGACGCGGAGGGAGGAAAAGAAAGAGUUGUUGCCCCCGAAGACUUUAUUGGUCGACUCUACCACAUGGGGAGAUUGGGUAAAGUUCUCAUUGCCAUCAUCGGAGGAGGAGGAGGAGAGUUACCGUUGGAUCUCAGUAUGCUUUCCUCAAACUAGUAUUCCAAAGCCAUGGGAUUUCUUCUUCGAAGUAUGUCGCAGUUCAGUCACGUCCGACGUUUCAUCCGUCUUCUUCGAGCAUUUUGAGGAAACGCACGAAGCUCUACCGGACGGCUUCUUCGUCGACCAUUUCAGCAACGUUCGAGUGCUAGACCUUCUCGGCUGCGUAGUAAGUCCUAUAGGACAUUCCUCCUUCCUUCGUCUUCGCAACCUGAGAAUGCUUAGGCUGGAGCUGUGCAAAGUAACUUCUCUUGAUCCUAAUUCUCAUUCUUCAGCACCAGAGGGGCGACGAGAACCAUUACUUUUUGAUAACUUAUGGGUCCUGAAUUUAUACAACUCGGAUGCCGAUGCAUUUCUUUUAGGAGGCAAAGCCUUUGAGCUCACGCCUAACCUCCGGGAGCUCGGUCUCACUGAUUGCGAGGGUUUACAAUAUCUAAACUUCAAUCUCCCUACAACAAUCGAAACAAUCAGCCUACAAAGGUGCGCAUCGCUAAAAGAGGUGGAGCUAGUCGGCCCUGCAGCUGCUCCUUUGCCCAACCUCAAGACCUUCCGCCUCAGCGGCUCUAAGCUGAUCGCCAAGCUCUCCCUACAAGGAUGCCAUAAGUUGGAGAACGUAGACCUGCAGGAAUUGACGGGGCUCGAGGUGCUCGAUCUUUCAUGCACCGCAAUAAAAGUAGUGGAUAUCAGCAAACUCCCACAACUGAAGCAAUUAUUUCUUCUCAGAUGCAAGCAACUCCUUAGAGUAGCCGGUCUUUAUAAAAUAUCAGAAGAACUAGAUGUGAUGUACUUGGAUAACUACAACGGCGGCGGUGCUUGCGACGUCGAUCGGUGCCUUGAUUCUUUUCGAAAUCAAAGACUAAGUGAGUUAAACAAAGGGAUUAAUGAUGCUGAUCAAAGAUUAUUCCAUGCUCAUGUGGUCGUGAGGGAUGUUAGGCUCUCCCGGUCACUUUAUGAUGCUUUUUUUAAUUUAAGCAGAGCAAAAUCCUGCUUCCAUAUCCACGUCAAGGGUUCUUCAACUGCUAAGAGAGGCACUAAUAUUGGUACUACCACCAGAUUGAAUGCUACUAUAACGUCGGCAUCAUGUUAUGCAGAUGUUUUAAACACUAUGAUAGAUCGUCACCGUCGACAUCACCCGUCGCCACCUGCUAUGCACCUGAAUAAUCACAUAGAAGUUGACGGAGGUCACGAUUCCAGAAUAGUAAAGGAAUUUGCAUUUAGGGCCAUAAUGGGAUAUUUUGCUAAUUCUUUAUUCAUUCACGACAACACAUCUAAUUUUACCAUGGACAUUAAAUUCAGAGAUCUCAAAUGUUUCAGCAUUGAGAGGUGCCCUAAUUUGGAGUUUAUCUUCUCUUGGGAGGAUGAGUAUAAUUAUUUGCUGGAAUUAGAAAGCAUAUGGCUCAGCCAACUUCCGACGCUCAAAGCUUUAUAUAAACAAGGAAGGAUUGGGCAACUAAAGCAUAUUGACUUAGAGUUUUGUGCGAGACUAGAAUAUGUAUUUCCCCCGGUAUCGGAGCUGCAUGACUUGGAAACAAUCAACAUCCGUUAUUGCGGCGAUCUAACGGCAAUUUUCAAAUCUGAUGAUGAUGAUAAUAAAGAUAAAAGAGGAGCUGCUCCAAAGCUACUUCCGAAACUGAGGUCCAUCCAUCUACAGGAGCUUCCAAAGCUACAACACAUAUACAAGCUAAACAUUUGUGCUCCGUCGCUGGAAGAGAUCAAGAUUGUGGGGUGUUUCAAUCUGAAAAAACUUCCUCUUUUCGGCCGAUCGGACGCUCGUUCAAUGAGAGCUGUGAAGAUUAGCUGCGAGAAGGAUUGGUGGGAUAAGCUACAAUGGGAUGGAUUAGAAUCCAACCACCACUCCUCUCUCUUCAAGCCAAAACAUUGUCCUUACUAUAAGAAGCGUAUGAAAGCUAGAUAUUUAUGAAGCACAGCUCUGCUCCAAUGUUCAUAUGCAAGGUGAACCCCCUCUCUCUCUCUCUCUCUCUCUCUCUCUCUCUCUCUCUCUCUCUCUCUACAUAUUAAUUGUGUAUUUGUGUGCAUAUACACGCAUAUGUGUGCUUGAUCGUGUGCGUCUAUAUAUAUUGAUGUUUGCGAAGCUCUUCAUAUGCUUUUGAGAAAUAAGCUAGCCACAGUGCAGCAUGUUCUUUCUUUUCUAUUUACAGGCGUGAGCUUGUCUACGUGUGUAAAAAUAUUAUAUAUAUAUUUAAUUUCUUGAGACUUGAGUGUGUAAUAAAGAAAAUGUCUAAGCAUAUAUUUGACUUUUGCAGACAACAAGUGUAGUGUUCUUGACCUUUGAAUAGGAUUGGCUUCAGUAUUAGUGACUGGUCGACGUCUCUGGAGAGUGUCGGACUGAGUCGGAGUCAAUUCUGCACGAAUUGGAUGCAGAAUUGGACUCGGCGCACUCAAAUAGGCAAAACUGGAGUUUUGCCAGAUUCGGGCGCCCAGAACAUUGUUAGGGUCGCCCAGAACUGAGUGUUGAAUUUAACUGAAACUGGAAGCCAAUUCGGAUCCCAUGUUCCGGGCGCCCAGAUGUGGGUCCGAAAAUUCGACAUCGUGAAUAUCGCUUGCUUCGACGCGUGGCAGGCGGUAGGUGAGUUCCGCCGGAGCCAUGUACGGGCGCAGCACACCGCGGGCGGAGAGUCCGAGGAGCCUGUUUUGUGCAGGCCGGAUGUUCUGGUCGCCCAGAACAUAGUUCCGGGCGCCCAGAAAUGCCCGUUUCUGCAGGGACACUGGAUAGCAGCUUGAGUUCCUGAGGCUUUCUGGAUCAUUUUAACUCUCUAUAAAUAGAUGGAAUACGCCCCUUUGCUGCUCUUUUCCUCCCUUCUUCACAGAGAAGUCCCUUUUAGUAUCUCUACCCUCGGAUUUGCCUCAAAUUGCAUCAAACUUCCAUUGAUCCAGCUUGAGAGAGUGCUGAUUCUACAGUUCUUCAGCGGCGACCUCUAGUGUUUUGGCUCGUGCGCAACGUAGGAGGAUCGGAUUUCGACGAAACUUGGUUUGCUGGAUUCUAGACUUCCAGCACGAAGCCCUGAAUUGCAGAUUUUGGUUGAGGUUAGCUUGGUCGAAUUGAGGUUUUUCUGGACUGCUGUUGGUUUUGAGCUGAAAAUGGGAUUUUCGAGUUUUUCUUGAUGCUAUCUUUGUUGGCAAUGGGAUUUUGGACCUGAGUUUGAUCACCCUUCAGUAGUUGCUGGAUUUGGAUCUGUCCUCACCCGAAUUGGAGAUCAUUAGGUGAGUUUUGACAUUGGAAUUGGAUAAAUCCUAAGCUUAAAGUGCUGAAUUUGGGAAAUUGAUGGUUUUUAUUGGAUUUUUGGUGAAUUAGUGGUAAUCCAGAUCUGAGGGGCUUGUUGCUGGUUUGGAGGUGUUUCCAGCAGUGUUGCUUGUGAUCCAAGACAUCUUGCUGCCAGGAAUUGAUAGAGGUGGUGUAUCACUCGGUUUCGCUCCUAAGUGCAUGUUUAGUCGACGUGUAUAGUUCGAUUUUUGUAUAUCAUGCUUUAAUUCAUCGAUUAGCAUUUUGGACGUAAUAUGAUAUAAAUGCAUGCUGAAAUGAAUUGUUUUUAUUAUACAUGGUGGACUUGAAAUUUGACUUAGGAGAAAACCUGCGUUUUGACACCGUCAUAUGCUUAAACUAGCAGAUUUAGCUCUAGGAGUCGUGUUUCGAUUGUAUCGUUGCCGCGUAUCAGUGCGAUGGAUACCUGGGUAGUUUAGAAGGCAUUUACGCUCGUGCUGGGAUGCCGAGCUUAUUUUUCAGCAGAGUAUAGGCUGUUCGGGUCGUGGGUGCCUGUUCGGUGCGGUGGACCCAGAUUCUUGUUUUGAUCAGCGAUUAUGCCGAGGGCAACGUGGUUUGGUUUGUAGACCUGUUUUGACCCUGUUCACAUUGGACUUUGGCUAGUUGGAACCUGAUUGAGCUCGACAAAGAUCACCUCAUACUCGGUUGGUUAGCGCCGACGGAAGUGCAUCCGGAGUCAGGCUUUGGCUUUUCGCCGUUGUGCGUCGCUCAUGCCGGUUGGACUUGUCUCCGGACCAGUUGUGUGGAUAGAGCCUAUGUUGCACUGGGCGAGGGACUGUGUGUUCACAGUCCAGGAGGGAUAUGUCUACCAGUCCGCAUUGGAUUGCGCCGUACAGAUUGACUUUCCUGAAGUGGUUAGUGCUUAGAGCGCAUGAUAGUAUACGUGAUUUGGUAGCGGUUUAGUUUAUUUCCUGGCUUUUUGGUCUUUCUCUUCCCUUCUUAGACUUAGUGGGUGCGACCGAUGUUGUUUUGGGCGGUACCCACUGAGGACUACUUGUUUUUACAGUAGUUCUCACUCCUAGUUGUUACCCCUGUUUUGCAGAGCUACAGGUUUCGGCUGCUGCGCCUUCCGCAGAUCAGGAUCGAGGCAAGGGCGUCGCGAGUUAGAGCCCUACCCGACGUGCUGAGCUAGAGGUGCCCCUACUGCAGGUAGAUGUUUUGUUUCGAGUUUAUGUACAUAGUGGACUUAACUCGCCAGUGCGAGUAGCUUUGUAUUUUGGCUUUGGACUAUGUAUAUGAAACUCAGUUUGUUUAGCUUCUGUUUUCUCUAGCAGCUCUCUACUACUGUUCGUAGUAGUGUUUGAUUUACAGGUACAGCUAUCGUUUCGUAUACAGGGAAAAUUCCUUUGUAUACGGCGGAUUUGUCGGCGCGCCCGGGAAAAGUGUAAUCCGGGGCGUGUAAUCCGGGGCGUGACAACAAGGACGACAUUUAUUCAUUUUUCUUAUCUUAUUUUCUACUCUCUCUCUAUCACUGGUAGUUUUCUCUAAGUUAUGUGAACCAAUUCAAUUUACAUUAAUCUAUGUUACACAAGGGAUAAAUUACACAAAUUAUUAAUACAGUGAAGGUUGUCUAACAGUUUGCAUGCAUGAUUAAUUAUUUAGGUCUUACGUUAAUAGCCGAAUAGAUUUGAAUUGAAUUGGCAAAACCUGUGUAAAUUUGUGGAAUUUUUUUUUAUAGAUCCGCAUGCUUUGAUUCUAGAGAUCUCCAAAGAAAAAUAAAUAAAUAAAUAAAUAAAGUAGUAUUUCCAAAGUAACACGAAAGGACUUUCCGUUCUCUAUUACAUCCUAUGUAUUAGUACUUCACAUUCUCUAUUACGAAUCCGUCUAGAAUACUAUCGAUGGUAGAUUAAUAGUAUUUAUUAUUUAUUUUCUAGCCCUUAAAUCAAAUACUACUGUAACUACGGCUACUAACCAAAGUCAUCCAAAAAUUAAAAACUGGAUAGCAAAUACUUUUCCUUUAUUAUUGAUAGUAUUCUAACUUUACUCCUCUAUAACAUCCUGUAAAUUAGUAAGUUGUGAUUUUUCGUUCCUGUUAUUAAUGUAUCAUACAAGCCAUUUUAUUUGCUAAAUAAUUUUUUGAAGGUCUUUUUUAAAUCAUUGUUAUUAGCUUAUAUUUUCUGCAUUAUUUGUUGAGAAAUUUUGGCAUUUUAUAUCAGAAUUAGUCAGAAUUGAAGUCAAUUUAUGGCAUUUUUUGACUCCAGAAAAAAAAUUGAAAUUAAUGGAUGACUCUAUUUGUUGGUGCGUGAUAUGCAGAAAUUUUAUUCUGACUCUGAUUUAUGGGUGAACUGAGAAUUCCUCAUUCAAAUCUUCUCCAAUCUGACUUAGAAGGUUGGACUAAAAAUUAAACUCCGGCGAAAUUGAAACUGAUUCUUAAAUUCAAAAUGUGGCUAGGCCACCUUUCUUCAGACCAUGGCUGAGUACGGCACCCGGCCGCAAGCUUUAUUCAAAAUAACGUCGGCUUAUACAUUGAAUAAGGGAAAAAUAGCUUGUAGGGCAUGUUUGUUUCAUCGAAAGUAAAGUGAAGUGAAGUUGUUUAUUAUCAUUAAUAACUAACUACAUUUGUUAUUUGAUUCACCGUACAUUAUAUUUGCCUAUAACUCUAUUUUUUCAGGAUACUAUAAUUGACUUCGUCUCAGUGGCGGUGACGUCAAUAACCGGAGAAAAGAUAGAAAACAAUAAUGAAAAAUAAUGAAACACUAUAAUGAGAAAAAAUAGGGAAAUGACCAAACUUGAAAGUCAAUAAAUGAUCACUAGCAAAAUAUUUCUAAAUUAUGUAAAAAGAUGCUCAGCAGGGACUUUUUUGAAAGAAAAACUUAUAUUCAAGACUAACAUGAAAAGAAAAUAAAUUAGAAACUUUCUUGAAAUUGUCCUAAAAGUUAGAGCUCUCUUUAGAAAAUUCUAAAGUCACGAACUGCAUAACUAAUAACUAGUCAUUUCCACAAUCAAUGUCUAGUGCAAUUGGUUGAAGGGGUAAAUUAGUCCUGACAUUUUGUGGGAAAAAUAAAAAUUAAUAAUUUACUAGAUCUAGGAAGAUUCUAUUAAGGUGGGAUCUAUUGGCUUAUUCAAACAAUUUUUUUUAAAAAAAAACUAGUUAUUUGCAUUAAAAAGGAAAAAAAUUCCAACAUAACAGUACACUGCUGAGAAUGAUAAAUUGAACUUGAUAGCUAGAUAAACUUUUAACUAUCUCUUUAGUCUUCAAACAUACACCUGUAGAAUUAGGGAUAAUGCUAAGUCCUUUAUGACAUAGAAUUGGAGAUUAAGGGAAAUGUUAACCUACAACUUGUUCAUGAGUUGAUUAAUUAUCAUGGAUAUAUGAUGAUGAUGAUAUCAUGUGAACAUUUUGUUUAUUGCUUUUCUGAAGUGGUUGACCUUGUUGCCAGCAAGUAGUUAGAGGAUUACUCACAUGACCACUCACAAUGGUAAUGCAUGUUUAUUGGUAUGGAAGAUUAUUUCAAUUGGCUAAGUAGUGUAUCUUAAAAUUUUGGUAAAUUAUUCUUUUUCAAUUUGUUGAAUAUAAAAUGUUAACUCAUCAGCUAUGUAGUUAUGAUUUUUGAGACAAAGCAGAAGGUCGUGAGUUCCAAAAAUGCUCUGCAUUUGAUCUUCUUAGUAAUUGUUGAAUAACAAUCAAUAGUACGCAACUAGCUACAUUCUUAACCUUCCAAGUUAAAUAGAUUUCAGUAGAGAUAUCAUAUUCUUAAAAUUAUAUAGGUUUUGGGGUGGGCCAAAACUCACUAACAAUUGGCAUCAAAACAAGGGCUUAAAAUGUUGAAUUUAAACUGACAAAACAUCAUUCUCUAACAAUUUAAGCUUUCGGGAUAAUUUGAUCUUUUCACUAGUUUGAGAAUGUAGAGGCCACGUACAUCCAUUUACAUGCGCUCUGCACUAGUUUGAUAUUGCAGUGUCUAAAGAACACCCAUUUACAUGCUUAGAAGAUCCAAGGAAAAAAAAGAAACAAGUGGUUAAUUAAGUGACACCCUAAUAGUCCCACAUUGCAUGUAAAAGAAAUUGUGAUAGAGUAUAUAAGGAUUAAAAAGAAUUUAGUAUUAAUAAUUGGGCUUAAAUAUAUAAUUUUAGCCGGUGACUUAAACACAAUAAAUUAUUAGUACUAGUAAACUGAAUCGUUAGUGUUAAAACUUUCUUAGUAUUGCAACUUGUUCUAUACUUUACACCAAAUGAUGAAUUGCUACUAAUAUUAGUUUGACUUUUCCUCAAAGUUAGACUUUUCAGCCAUUUAUUAGAGAAUGCUAUUAUACCGUGCAACACAUGAUCGGCUCAGAAAACUACUACUUCUAAGUUUAUUUCACAGGAUAUCCUUUAUUCCAUGAAUUAAUAAUAUAAUAACUAAUAGGGUUAAUUGCAUAUAAUUUUCUAUAAACAUAUUGAAUAGCAAAUAUAUUCCUACAAAAUUUAACUUUUCAUUUUUAUCACUGCAAAAGUUCAGUGAUAAAUUCAUAGUUGCCCCUCUAGCUUGUUACCGUAUGCCCCAACUGUUAGAAUUAUACAGAAAUAUCUUCCCAAAGAAUUAUUUUAUGCAAUAACAUAAGAGAGGUAAACAAGUCAAUUUAACUCAUUUACUAACUUAGAGUUAAGUAUUUUAUUUAUGGUUUACUACAUUUUCUAGCGGAUCCUAACAAUAAGGAUAUAUUAGAAAACAUUUAGGACUUUUGUAAGAAUAUAUAUAGAUAAAAAGUUAAACUUUAUAGAUAUAUAUCUGUUAUUCAAUAUAUUUUCAGAAAGCUAGAUGCAAUUAACCCUAACUAAUUAAUGCUUGUUAGAACUUGCCUUCUGAAUGGUGGAGUAGCUCAUGUUUUAAUUGGAAGCUUAAUUUUAUCAUCUAUUUCACAAAUAAAGAAGCACACGACAAAAGAACCCAAAACAAUAAGCGCACAAAUAAUUAACGUGGUUUGUCCAAGGCCUACAUCUUUUUAUUUAUACAUUAGAAUAUAAAAGACUUUUUUUUUUUUUCUUAUAAAACUGUAAUUCUCAAAAUUUAUUCAAUGCUAGCUUUUUCUCGUACUGAGAAUCUACGGAAUUGGGAAUGAUUUUGGCUUAACUUUAAAUUUCUAUUUCUCAUUUGAUUAAAAUAUUUAAAUUUUUAAUUUGAGAUUUUGAAUUUGACUUUGAAUUUUGAAUUAAAGUUAAAACUACUUACUGUGCCCGGAUCCAACGUAGACCCCAAAUUUUCGACAACAUAUUGUGUCAAAAUUCAGACCCAGUUUAGAAUAAGAUGUCUGGGUCCGGUUUUUGAGCCAAAAUUUUAAAAAAUAUAGGUGAAAUUAAAAUUUGAAUUCAAGAUUCUUGUAUUCAAAAUGAAAAUAUCGAAAUCAUAGAGAUAGUUCAUAUAUCCUUGUAAAAUAAACAAUUUUAAGUUAAAAAAAAAUAAAUUGAUACAUUUUAAUUUUUACUAUUUAAACUAUUAUUGUUAAUUCAGAUCGUCGAACCGGUUUUGUCCAAAAUUUUUUUGCCCGGAUCCAACUUAAUUUUAAUUCGGAUAAAAUAAUCUGUCUCGACUUGAUUUUGCGGACAAAAUUUGUGGUCUAAGAUCCAAUAAGUUUUCGGGUCCGACUAAAUUAGUCAAGCGGGUCGGGUUGUAUUUUCCCAACCCUACAAGUUUGUAAUUUUAGAUGUUAACAUUGUUAAACACAAUUUUGCAUUUAAUACCCAAGAAGUUACUUUUUUAUAAAAUCAGUUAUUUUUUCAUAUUAAAAACUGUAUUAAUUUUUAUAGGAAAAACUUUAAAUACCACCCAUAUGGUUUCGCACUUUCUCACUUUAAUACCCUAUGGUUUGGUUUAAAGUGUAUCAUUUUCAUACCAUGUAAUUUUAUUUUUCUCUUUUUGUUAUCCACUCUACUAAUUUUUUUCGUUAAAUCAGUGACAAAGUUAAAACUAAAGGAUUCUAAAAUAAAUAUAAGCGGGGUAUCUUAAAUUUUUUGUAUAUGAUUUAACAAAAAUUCUGACGAAAAGAGAAAAACAAAACUAUAGAGUACUAAAUUGAUACACUUUACACCACAUGGUACUAAAGUGAGAAAGUGUGAAACGACAGGGUUGGUAUUUAAAAUUUACCCAUAGAUAAAUUAUAUGCUGGAUGGUCCAUGUACCAUCCUUAAUAUUUGCAAUUUUAUCCUUAUACUUUUCUAAUAAUAUUUCACAUGUAAUGUCCUUUAUUAUGGUUAAUUGAAGUUGAAGCUUUUCCCAACAAAAAAUAAAAGAAAAAAAGUAAGUUGCAAUAUACAGAUAAUACAGGGACUUAUCCAUGUAUUUUUAACCGAUCAAACAACGUGGGACGUGGAGGCACGUUCGAUCGGGGGAAUCAGUGGGCCCCACAUAACGUGGUCGGUCGGUUGAGCCGUUGANAUCCAACUUAAUUUUAAUUCGGAUAAAAUAAUCUGUCUCGACUUGAAUUUUCGGACAAAAUUUGUGGUCUAAGAUCCAAUAAGUUUUCGGGUCUGACUAAAUUAGUCAACCGGGUCGGGUUGUAUUUUCGCAACCCUACAAGUUUGUAAUUUUAGAUGUUAACAUCGUUAAACACAAUUUUGCAUUUUAAUAUCCAAGAAGUAACCUUUUUAUAAAAUCAGUUAUUUUUUCAUAUUAAAAAUUGCAUUAAUUUUUAUAGGAAAAACUUUAAAUGCCACCCAUAUGGUUUCGCACUUUCUCACUUUAAUACCCUGUGGUUUGGUUUAAAGUGUAUCAUUUUCGUACCAUGUAAUUUUAUUUUUCUCUUUUUGUUAUCCACUCCACUAAUUUUUUUCGUUAAAUCAGUGACAAAAUUAAAACUAAAGGAUUCUAAAAUAAAUAUAAGUGGGAUAUCUGAAAUUUUUUGUAUAUAAUUUAACAAAAACUAUGACGAAAAGAGAAAAACAAAACUAUAGAGCACUAAAUUGAUACAUUUUAAACCACAAGAUACUAAAGUGAGAAAGUGUGAAACUAUAGGGUUGGUAUUUAAAAUUUAUCCAUAGGUAAAUUAUAUGCUGGAUGGUCCAUGUACCAUCCUUAAUAUUUGCAAUUUUAUCCUUAUACUUUUCUAAUAAAAUUUCACAUGUAAUGUCCUUUAUUAUGGUUAAUUGAAGUUGAAGCUUUUCCCAACAAAAAAUAAAAGAAAAAAAGUAACCUGCAAUAUACAGAUAAUACAGGGACUUAUCCAUGUAUUUUUAACCGAUCAAACAACGUGGGACGUGGAGGCACGUUCGAUCGGGGGGAAUCAGUGGGCCCCACAUAACGUGGUCGGUCGGUUGAGCCGUUGAAACCCCUGCUUCCUAAAUUUAAUUCAAAAAAUUAAGGUGAAAAAUUAUGUAGAGCCCCCUCUACUAUAUCGAUUUUUGUAACAUGCUCCUAAACUUUGCUUGCUUUAUUUUUUUGGAAUUAAGUAUCGUUUAUCAAAAAAUUAUAAAUUUCAUCAAAUUUAUUGAUGAUUUCACUAAAGUUAACAAUUUUAAUCAUAACUAAGUAUAAAAACUCAAAUCAAAGAUACAAGGUGAGGGAUCUCAACCCAAAAAAUAAUAGUUGAAGAGUGCAUUUCACAAUAGAUAUAGUUGAGGGGUCUUCAUACAAUUUUACCCCCAAAAACAUUUAUCUCUCUCCUCACAAAACUCCUCCCCCACAUUGAAUCCCCUCUUCACCCUCUCUAGUUGUUGUUGUUGUUGUUGUUGUUGUUGUUGUAGUAGUUUUUGUUAUUGUUGUUGUUUUUGUUGUUGUUACCAUCUUAUUGCUUCUCCCUUUUCCUCCUCUUUCUCAUUCCGUAAUCAAGGCCACAUCUUUUUCCCCUCAUCUAAUUUGUUGGGCUCUUCUCUGUGCACACCAACUGUUUGAUUCUUUGUUUGUAUGGCAAAUUCCUUCACUUUCCCCUUCUUUUUUGACCUUUACGAUUAAAUUUCAUGUCUGAUUAUGGAUUCGGAGAAUUGGGUUUCGUUUAGUUGUUUGUAAGAUGAUACUAACUGGUUAAAAAUUGAAUUUUUCUUCUUGUUCUUCUUGUUCUGCUGCAGGAUUGUUGUUAAGGAAGCUCAUUUAGAGGGGUAUUCAGGGUUGAGAAGGUUGGCAAUAUGUGGUGCUGCGGUGGUGUAGAGAAGGAGUCGCAUGGGCCGCCCGUGAACCACUACGCGGCUCCGCCGGCGCGACCGGCGGCUCCAGGUUAGUUUUCCUCUAGUUGUUUUUAUCAAAUUGUUACUUACAAAGAUCGAUCUGAUAGGAACCAGUUUAGGCCCGUUCAUGUGCACAGCGGUGAUCAGGCGAAUCAUGUCAUGUGCGCACACAAUGGAGUUGCAAAAUUAAUCCCAAGACCUAGCGGAACUGAGGGAGCGUAGGAUUGGCUCUAAAACCAUGUUACUCAAAUGAUCAAUUUAGUGGAAAAUAGUCCGAUAUUUCUUCUGUUAUCAAUCUAACAUGUUUCAUAAUUUGAUCACCUUUUCUCUGUAGUAAGUGGUAAUGCAUUUGUCUUUCUCACAAACUAGUGCAGUUUUAGAUUGGAAAAACAGAGAAAGAAUCGCCUAUUUUGUUUGAAAAGUCAACCGCGACAUCAAGAUCUUGAAAACAUUAAAUAUUCUUGUAAUUACAUGUUGAUGCAUAAAUAAUGAUAGGUAGGUCAUUUUGACACUUUGGUUUUCUUUCCUUUUUUAUCUGAGUUAGUUGACUUUGUAAAGGUCUCGAAAACAUUAUUUUUUAGUGCCAAAGACAUUACUUUUUAGUGCUAAAGAGACAUUAUUGGCAUACUACAGAGGAUUGAUCAAAAAGAAAAGGUGGUUUUUUUAUAAAUUUGUUCUCUUAUUAUAGUUUGGUUAUUAAAUAUACUAGAUGUUCGUGAUUGUUCGAGCCUCAAUGGAUAAGUUGUUUCUGAAGCCAAAGAUGGACAGCUGAAUCUUAAGAUUUAAAGACCAUAAAUGAAGAGUUAAACAAUGGGAACGAUGAUGCAUGACCACAAACAAUUUAACAACUUCCAUACCAUCAUAGGCCAAAAGUUUUGAGUUCUUUUCUGCUAAGAUGUGUUGAAAUUGGGUUAUUAAGCAGUUUAAUGCUGUGAUCUCAUAUUAGAAAUAUUUUAAGGCCAGUAACACUUGAAUAUUUCUAAGGUUUAGUUCCAAUUCUUAUUCACGUAUCUCUCUAUGUAUAUAUCUGAUUCAAAUCUGAUUAUUAACAUAUAAAAGAUAUUAAUGCCAUGCUUCUUCCCUUACCUUAAAGGCUGACCUGUUGGCUGAGAAGCACUAGAAUGAUCCCUAACAUUAAUGGUAAAUUAGAAUGCUUCUUCCUUGGGCAAUAAAAUUUACAUUUUAUAUCUAUUAUGCUUGAAUUGGGCUAAUUCACAACUUAUGCCGAAUUUCUGACUGUAACCAUCCUUUUUCUUUAUUAUUAUGUAAUCUCUUCUGUAUUUUGCGUAAUCUCUUCAAUCUUCAGUACUAGAUUAGUCCUAUAUACGUAAUUAAGUCAUUACUCAUUAGUACCCAUACACUACACUAGAUGGGAAUGUGUUAUAGUAGUCAAUUUAAAUGUAAAACAAAUCUAAAUGUAAUGUUUUACAUUGUUCUGAUUUUUUUGUCUUCUUUCUGUGUAAUUUAGGUCCAAAUCGAGAGCAAAGAGCCCCAUAUCCACCCAAAAGUGCUGCACCUCAAAAGAUCUUGCCUAUUGAUGCUCCAGCCCUGUCUCUGGCCGAGCUGAGUCGGCUAACUGGUAAUUUUGGUGACAAUACAUUGAUAGGAGAAGGCUCUUAUGGCCGAGUCUUCUAUGCAACUUUAAGUUCAGGAGAAGCUGUUGCAGUGAAAAAGCUCGACCCAAAUGUCUCAAAUGAAUCCGACUCUGAUUUCUCUGCUCAGGUGAUUCUUUAAUACUGACAUAAUGGCAUAACAAAAAUGUUUGUAGACUCCCUCAACCGGCUUAACUCUUGGUUUUGAUCGAGUUAAUUCUUUUGCUGAAAUGGGGAUACUAUAUAUAGUUAAUGACUUUAAUAGUUGUUAUCUUUAUUCAACUAAUGCAAUAACUAAAACCAAAAUGAACAAAAGUUGCUGGGCGGCAACAAAUUGCGAGAUCCUUUUUAAAAUCGCCUAUUCGUCUCUUUACAUUUUAUUUUUUAUUUAACCUAGUGUGAACGAUACAGAAGUACUAUUAGAACUACUGAAUCUGGCAAUUGAUGGUAACUUUGAUCCCUUCUAUAUUCCCGUUGUUGAUGCAGCUAUCAAUGGUUUCGAGACUAAAGAACGAGAAUUUUGUUCAGCUGUUGGGUUACUGCUUGGAAGCAAGUAGUAGGAUAUUGGUCUACCAGUUUGCGGCAAAAGGAUCUUUGCAUGAUAUCUUGCAUGGUAUAGUCACUCUAAUUUCCUGCUUAACUUCAUUGAAAUAGCUUUGCAAUGAAGAAAAGAACAUAACAACUGAAUAGUUUCGAGAAAAAACAUAAAGCCAUCUCAAAUUUAGAAAUAUAAAUUGAUUUAUAAUAAGAUUACAUUCAAAUAUGGGUACCAUACAAUUAUAUCCAAAUUAUCCAUAUCUAUCCCGUAUCUACUUUGGAUUAAAUAAAUCUCCCUUUGCAAUUUUAUUCAAAUAUAUAUUUGUAUUUGUCUAAAAAGUAUUUUAUAGUUAAUUUUGUUUGGUUAAACCAUUUUCUAUCGUGCAUUUAAAUACGUGAGAUUAUUUAUUGUCUCGUGUAUCUCACUGGUUGUGGUCUCGUAUUUUGUACUUCUUUGUGGUAAAUCAUAGGGAAAAAGGGUGUAAAAGGUGCUGAACCAGGUCCAGUACUGAGCUGGAUCCAGAGAGUGAGGAUAGCAUACGGUGCGGCAAGAGGCCUUGAAUAUCUACAUGAGAAGGUCCAGCCAUCAGUUAUACACCGAGACAUCAGAUCGAGCAAUGUUCUUCUUUUUGAUGAUUUUGAAUCAAAGAUCGCCGACUUCAGUUUGAACAACCAGUCUCCGGACUCGGCUGCCCGACUCCACUCGACCCGAGUUCUGGGGACUUUCGGCUACCAUGCUCCAGAGUAAGUAAAUCAUGAUGGCAAUUUCACAUUAAAAAGAAAAAACAUUCCAAAUUUUUUAAUGAUCUGUAGAAAGAUUAAGUUACUUGAAUGAUUUGCUAGUCUUUUGAUUGUAUACUCGGUCUGGCUUGUGGAAUGGCUUUUCUACUCCAGAAAUGCAUGAGCUCCGUAAAAAAAGGCAUUAGCUAUGGUGAGAAGCUACAAAUGAGCUCUUGGUUCUCCGUUUUGAAGAUUUUGCUUUUGUCGGAGGUAGAAACUAUUGGGAUGAGUUCAAUAAGAAAGCUAAUAGUGCUUCUUCAAACAAUUCAUCUAAACAACACUUUUACAGAAGCACCAGCUGGCCGUAAAGAACCCUGAACAACUAACUUAAAAUAAAUAAAUAAAAAAUAAAUAAAUAAAUAAAUGCUAUCUAUUGUGAAUAGGAAUUCUAAUGAUUGAAUGUAUAUCAUCUCUUCGGUUCACUAUUAUUGCUUAAACUUACUUCAAAUGCGCUAUAGGUACGCGAUGACCGGGCAACUGACUCAGAAGAGUGAUGUAUAUAGCUUUGGUGUGGUUCUUUUAGAGCUUUUGACAGGGAGAAAGCCAGUAGACCACACCAUGCCGAAAGGGCAACAGAGUUUAGUUACUUGGGUGGGUUCAUCCUCCUCAGUCUCUCAUUAUCAUCAAAGAACAAUUACUCAUAUGUUCUAGCUAACAUUCCUUUAUAUCUAAAUUCUUCUAUGAUUAGGCAACUCCGAGGUUGAGCGAAGACAAAGUUAAGCAAUGCGUCGAUCCGAAGCUAAACAAUGAUUAUCCACCUAAAGCAGUUGCCAAGGUAUAUGACCUUAUCUCUCUCUAGAUUCCAAUUUACAUGUUUAGAUAUAAAUCCGGGCACAAUUAUUUAUUGAGAGAUACACCACUGCAAAACUGAAUUUUCAUACAUGCACUCGAUCAACUUAAUCCCUUUGUCCUUACCGAAAAUUUCUUUUUAAAUGUAAACCAACUUUCCUCAUGAAUCAGAUGAUUCUCGGCUUAAAAAACUAAGAACAAUAUGUAAUAAAAAAUAUAUAUAUACUUUUUUAUGGUAUGUAUGAAAUAUUCAAAUUUUGGAGGCAUGAAAGGUCCAUUCCUAUUGUAUUUAACUCUAUUGUUAAACUUUGAAAUGGCCCAAAGUAUAGCUUUGUCCUUUUAAAGUCUAGAUUUGCUAUAGAUAGAAAUUAGCACCAAAUUUUGGAGAACUUUUGUUUGGUUGAUAACUCGUCAUAAAAAAUUUAGUUGAAAUAAGUUCUGAUCAAUUGUGACGAUGAUUAAACCCUAAAACAUCAAAAUAUUUAUGGGAUUUGAAUUGCUCUUUUUGUUUGUGUUCAGUUGGCAGCAGUUGCAGCAUUAUGUAUCCAAUAUGAAGCCGAUUUCCGACCGAACAUGACGAUUGUCGUCAAGGCGCUCCAACCUCUUGUUAACACGAGAGCAGGACCCGACCAUUAAAUUGUAGAAUCACUUAUUUACUCUCCAAUUAUUGUUGUUUUUUUCACUUAAAUCCUUGUUUAGUUCCUUUUGUUGGUUGAGCUAGUUUUGCAAAAUUGGCGAUGCCGAUUUGUUGUAGCCUUUAAAUUUACUUACAAGGGACAUACCAGAAUAAGCUAGUAUUAUCCAAUACUUGAUCAAGGAACUUUGUGACUAUUACAAUAUUGUUUGUUAUAUGUAUUCUUUUUUUUUCUAAAUAUAUGAGAAUUUGUUCAUUAAUUAUCGGUAUCUUAGUGAUAUCCUCUUUGUUGGAAAUUGAGUACAUUUUACAUAAACCAACACAUGGGAGCUUAAUCACUGGUAAUUAUUGAGUCCAUCUUCUCUUACACACACCAUAUUUGCUUGUUCAUUGUUCAAUUUGUUUGAACAAAAUUACCAUUCAUGAAUAUCCUUUGGCUUUACACAUUUUUAGGAAACAAUUUAAUUUAUGCCUACAAGGAAUUUUUCAAGAUGUUUUUAUCAUUUGCUUGGAAUCACUUACUCAUUUGAUGUUUAAUAGGAAGCCAAAUUGAGUUUAUAGAUUACAAAAGUAGAUAUUCGUAACGCCCUUAUAAUCUCACCCACAUCAGAUGAAAAGGAGGUUAUGAUUUGAAAUAUAAGAGAUCACCACUCUAGUAAUAAUAACUGAGCUUCAGUAUUUUGAGCCAGUGAUUUAGAUUCAAUGAGUUAUUAUUGCUAGUAGGUUGGGUCGUUAUAUUUGAUAUUAAAGCUCCGAAAGUUUGAGAACUAAGUGUUUUGUUUUAGUUCUAUCGUCUAUCUCUAAAAUCUCACAUCGCCUAGUUCUUGUCUAUAAACGUGUGAUCGCGUCAGGUCUAAACGACGGGAGGUUCUAAUUUAAAAUAUAAAAUUAUUAUUGAUAGCUGGUCAAGUUGUUACAAUAUUUUAAUUUAAGAGUUUCAAUUUUAUGGAAACAAAAAAAAAAAAUUAGUUUUUUUAAGCAUCGCUGCUCAAACAACACUAUUAUAGAAGCUCGCACGUUGUUAUCAGUACAGAUUAAAUAUUAUUAGGAAUAUGAAACAAGUGAUGAAUUUUUUCCUUUUUGUUUUGUGUUUACGAAGGAGGCCCCUAACCUUCUAUUUAUUCCAAUUAGAUCCUUAAUCUUUUACCCAAGUUUCAUUUUAAGUUUAUGUUGCAAUUAGGUCCCUAACCUUUCCUAAUCAUUUCAAUGGGGUCCUUUCUGUCAUAAAAUCAUCAUCACAACAAUGUACCAUUAGAUAAAUUUUGAAUGCUAAUUUCUUACAAAUCAAACGGUAAAUUUUUCUCUAGUGUUCAUUUUAGAAUCUACUUAAUGUCCAUGUAAUAAAUAUUUAAAAUACACAUCUACUGGAUUAGAUCCUAAUUUAAUAUAUUGAUAAUCAUAUUUUAGGUGCGGUGUACAAAGCGUACCUAGUGGACAAUAAAAGAAAAGGAAGUACAAGAUUAGAAAUUAUUUUCUAGAUCUAGUCCUCCAGUUCUCUAGAUACUCAAUUGAAACUCCGUUAAAAGUUUAAGGACCUAUUUGCAAUAAGUAGACGGUUAGGGGCUCAACUGAGACUUGAAUAAGAUGUUGAUUAUCAAAAACCCCAAUCUACCGGGUUUUUAAAAUCCAUAUCCAAAUCCGUACCCGACCAAAAUCUGAAACCCGAAGUAAUUAUUUUUCUUUACCAUAUUUCAAAAUAUAUUUUAAAUUUUUAAAUAUAAAUUUAAAUAUAAAAUCAAAUAUUCAUACAUAUUAUGUAAUAUAAAAUCUAUUCGGGAAUUGGGGUCAAAUUCUAAUCAAAUACAGACAAAAUUCAUACCUGAACUUGAAUCUGUCAAAUCAUCAUUUUUUUAGACCCGUGUCUGAAACCAUAUUUAUUUAGAAUCAGGUAAACUCAUUCCGUUCAGAUUUGGAGUGGAUAAAUUUCGGAUAUUUGUACCCACUGACAUCCCUAGACGAAACAACCUAGUUGAAAUUAACCAAAACAGUGCUUCAAUUAAAGAUCAUGAUUUACGAUUAUUAUCUAAAUAACAAAAAGUAUGUUUUUUAACAUAACUUAAUCUAUUUAAAGACAAAAAUUAAUCACUAUUUUAAAAACUCGAAUUAAAAAAUAAAAAAUAGUUAAUUUAUUUAAAAUAUAAAGACACAGUAUAUAUAGACCUAAAUUGGGACUCAGGAUCUGUUUGGUUCAACAUAAAAACCAUGAAAAAUAAUUUUUUAUGGAAAAAAAUUUUACGUUUUGUACUAUCUAGUUUGUAAAAAAUAAUAAUAAUAAAUAAUUUUUCAUCAAUAUUUGUUUAGUUGGAAGAAAAAAAUUCACAUUUGUUCAGUUUGGUGAAAAAGAGUGAAUGGAAAAAAUUUUACAAAGUUUAAGUUUUCGUUUUUUUUUUAGAAAAACAAUAAAAAAAAUGAAAACUUCAAUUUUUCCCCCAAUAUAUAAAAAUAUUUUUUCGUAAAACUAUUUUUAUAUCAAACCAAACAAAUAAAAAAAAAUGUUUUAUAUCAAAAAUAUUUUUUUCAUUUAUGCAGAAUCAAACCAAUAUGCUGAGUACUGCACCAGCAUUAAUAACUAGAAAAGACAUAUAUCCCUGUCUUUUAUGAAAGGCACAUUUUCUAUGGUUAGGGUUGUCAAAUUUGAACUUAUUAUAAGAAAACAACAACCUCAAUUGACCUAUUGUCCUUUAACACUAUAAUAAUUAUAUAGGUAGGGUAAUGUUACACUUAUUCUCCAACUUGGGUGACACUUUAGUCCUCAAUUUUUAAUUUAUUAUAAUUUGUUUUAAAUUUUGUAGAUUAUUACAACCAAAUUUUACAGUAAAUUUAGUUGACUGAAGACUUAGAUGUUGUCGAUAUGGCACGGUCCAAAAUGCUUAAGCCCGAUGAUUAACGUUUAGACCCUAACAUUCUCAUCAGAUCCGAAUUCGAUCAUAGAUAUAUAAACCCGCAUAGCAUUUAGCACGAUUCUAUACGUGGCUCCCACCAAACUCAAGGUGUAGCACUUUAUCCCACAUAAUAUUUGGCUCUCACAUAUUUGACUGGUAAUCAGCUCUGAUUCUAACUGUAACAAUCGGACCAACUUUCAACUAUAAUGAUCCGACCUACUAACAGUAAUAGCUAGUUGUGUCCAAGCCACCAGUCCAAAAUAUGUAGGCCCAGUUAUUAUUACUGGAAUAUGUGAUCUUUUAUAUUUUCAGCAAGAAUUCAUUUCAUAUUUAAUGUGAGACUAUUGAAAUGUUACAAUAAUCUAUUAAACAUAAUGAAUCCACAAUAUUUCUUGCCACGUGGCAAGAAACCCUUUAUUCUUAGGUUAUUAGAUAAUAUCCAUCUCUUAUAUGAAUCCCCAAUAUAAAAUUUACGUUUCUUCUUCACUUCUAAAUGCUUAACCGUUUACCUCUCUAUAUUUAAUUACAUGCAUUAUAUUCCACCAAUUAGUGAGCUUUGUAACUCCAAUCCACUCCUCUCCACCAUUAAUCAGCACUUCUAAAUGCUAUGCUAAACCCUUCACCUCUCCACAUUUAAUUACAUGCAUCAUAUUCUAUCAAUUAGUAAGCUUUGUAACUCCAAUCCACUCCCCUCCACUAUUAAUCUCCACUUCUGAAUGCUCAAUCUUUCACCUCUCCACAUUUAAUUACAUGCAUUAUACUUCACCAAUUAGUGAGCUUUGUAACUCCAAUCCACUCCCCUCCACCAUUAAUCCCCUCACCCCCUCUUUCUUGCAUGACAUGUUAUUUUUCAUGCAAAAAUGAACAUUAUCAUCUAAUCUCUCACCCCACACUUAUCUCCUUCUCUCUAUCUCAUUAUGUUAACAAAGAUUAUGAGGAUGAUGAAGAAGAAGAGCAUGCGAAGAAUGUUGUCUCCUUCAAAAAAUAUCGUCCUGUAAAGUCCAGCCGCGCCCCAUAUAAGUGCUCGCUGGGCCAGUCUGCACUGGAGCCGUCGCUCGCCGUGAACCGCCGCCGCCUCGGCUGCCUCCUCGCACGGCUCCCGCGUGCCGGCAACUAGGCCGAGGGGAGCGCCGUCCUAGCCUCCUCUUCGCGGGGACGUUGCGCGGGAGCUUGCUUCUCAAGAAUUGCAGGAACUUUUUGGUAAAUCAAAUUGUUUAAGAAUUAGGGUUUCUGUGGUUGAUGUGAUGGCAAGACUGUGUCGGUUUAGAUAUCGCAGUUUGGUGAUGCAGAUGAGGUGUUUGUUCAUAGAUUACAAUGAAAAUCCAGAAAUGAUUCGGCGCAGGGAGCAACUACCAGCUGAAGAUUAAAAAGAUGUAUGAGAUUUGGAUGAGUAAGAGAAGUGCUCCAAAAAAAUAUUAGUUUUUUUAAGAUUGAUGUUUUUUGUUUUAUUUUCAUAUUAUGAUCAUUUUUUUGAGUAGACAUUGUUGUGGGCAAAAUUUUUUUCGUAGAUUAAAAAGUAUGAUGCGGAGAUUUGGAGCCUGAGACGCCAACCAAAAUUUUCUUAAGCCAGAUACGUUAAGUUAUUAUUUAUGUAUUUCAUAUGCUUCUAACUAUUAUUUUAUUUUUUUAACAACUGAAUUUAGUCAUGCAAAUUGACUGUGCUUAAACAUAAUAUAGCUUCCUAUAAGCUGUAAAUAUAAAUUUUAUUAAAUUAUUAAAAAUUUAUUUCUAUUAUCUAUCCGCUGCAUCGCGCGGGUCUCUACACUAGUAAUGGCUAAUAGCAUAUCAUACCGCUAUUUUUUCAGCGACAUAUUAUUAUUCAACCAACUAAAUCGACUUAUAUAAUUUGAUUAUAACAAUUUUAAAAAAAAAUUGAAUCAUAAAUUGUAAUAAACUAAAAUUUGAGAACCAACGUGCGGUGGAAGUUAAAAUUAUUACCAAGCAAUUCACUAGUACAAAGUAAUGGGCCCACAUUUACAUGUCCUAUAUAUAUUAUUAAGUUUUGGCCUAUAUAUCUCAAGUAGAUCAACACAAGACAGAUCUGUACUUGUUCUAGUAAUGAUGCAUGCUCCUGAAAAUUUUGUAUCUAUCUUCCUAAUAAUUGAUCUCAUAUAUAAUGUAGCAGGUAUCUCUACCAUUCAGUUUAAAAUUUUAUUUGAUUUGAUAUAGUUAUAAAUACAGUACAAUUAAAGAUAUUUCCAAUUCGAGAUAUUGUAACGAUGUUUCCAUCUCAUCCAUUUGACCGCUUGUUAUUUUGCGUAAUACAGCUAUAAAUACUUUUGUUUUUCACCAACUCAUCCGUCUCCAACUUCCUUCAAUUUGGGCGUAGUUUGAGAUACAAUUGGGUCUCCAAUUGCAGGUCCAACUAUAGCACGUACAUAUUAUUGGGUAUCCGGUACUCGCCCCGGUAUCGGAUCUUGAGAAUCCGCAAUCCGUUUCGAUACCGACUCCUGUGGAUCUGGUACCGAUUGUUGGGAUUUCACAACGGAAGCGUCAAAUCGAAUUUUUACCACAAACCGUCUUCUCAGCAAAAGCUGAUACAAUCACAAAAGAGAGAAAAAUCAAAACAGAGAAUAUAUGGGUAAAAUAAGAUUUAUUAAAUAAGAGAAGAAAUAAAAUUACACCUGACUCCUCUUCUGCAACUAAGUAGCUACAACCCGAGCCCUCUUUUUGAAUCUUUUCUAUCAUUCUCUCGUCUUUUAUAAACCUAGAAGACAACUCUCUUUCUCUCUCACAUGCACCCGUGCACUAGGUGCAUACAACCGGCCAACUCUCUCUCUAGUGCAACCCACCAAAUAGCUUCAACUUUUUAGUUGUUCUCCCCCUCACAACUUUUUGGCUUAAUAAGUUUAAGCCCUUAAUGCUACAUAUAUAGCGCCCACGAAAACGUACCCAACUCCUAAUAUAAUUAGGAUUCCGAUUCCAAUAAAUAUUUAAAUCUUAAUUGAUUUAUCUCUAAUAGAUUUAAAUAUUUAUUCCAAACUAGUUAGAUUCAUACUCUAAUUAAUAUUUAAAUCUUAAUUUAUCUCUAACAGAUUUAAAUACAAAUUCCAAUCCAACUAGAAUUAAUCUACAAAUCGAACCAAAUUCUAACACAUAUAACUACAGUUAACUGAACAAAAUAUUUAUGUUCAUAUGGAAUUACACUUGCAAUAUAAUUAGAAAUAUAUGUAAUCAAACAGUUCCUAAGUUUUUUAGACUACAUUUACUUCACGCUAUUGGCUACAGUGCACUAAAAUACUCUUUCCAAGUUUGACAUUUAUCGAUCAAUUUGGUUUAAAACGAUGUGUAAUAUUCACCUCUACAAACAAGGAUACAAUAAAAAUACUUCAAAAUUUUGUUUGUCAAACACACGACUAUAUAUCAUACGUAGAAAUCGAAAUAACACUUGUUCUUGGUGGAUCAUCAGAUUUUUACUUAUUAUGAGAACAAAUUCAACUUGGCUACCUCUCCUUUCACUAUUCUAAAUCCCUUCAAGAGUAGGCAAUCACCGAAUGAAAACUUUCAAUGAGUUUAUUGGGAUUGGCUUCGUAUUAAUGAUGAUUUUUUGAUGGAAUCAAAAAGACAUGCGCAUUUUGGUAAGAUCAAUCAUAAAACAAAUCUUAGAGACUUUUUGAUCCGAUAUAAUAUGGGCUUCAUUUGGGAUUAUUCGGAGAUUGCGUUACGUGUGGUGAGAAAGUAAGUUAGAAAAAUAUUCUGUUUAUUUCUGUACGUUCUGCGGUCCCACCAGAGAACGCAGAAGCAUAUCUCUAUAUGCUUUUUCCUUAAUUUCAUUUUAUCUAAUAACGUUAGAUAGGACUCAAUACCAAACUAAGCCAUAGUAUAGUUAAAGCUACAAAUAUUUUGCUUGAUUUACUAUAAUAGAAAAUGCUAAAACUUUAAAUAAUUUGUUUAAUUGUAUAUAGUUGGGAAAUACAUUUGUAUGUUUUAACACUUUAUAUAUGAAAUAGUGAGAUUACCAUUUACCAUUCAUUUUAAUGAAAAAAUAAUAUCUUUUCAACGACUAAGAUCUAGUUAAUAGUCUGACCAUUAAUUAAUUGAGAACAUAAAGUUCAGGGACCUAUUUCAAAAAGGCAUAUAGUCUAGGGGUUCUCCAUACAUUUUUUCCCCAAAAUAUUUAAAAAAAACACACAAAGAAAUUUAAGCUUGAAUCCAAAAUAGUAUUUUGGACUAGGCCAAAGUGGGUCCCAAUUUUGAAUGUUGCUAAGCAAUUAAAUAAUUUGAGUCCAAAAGGAGAAAAUCUCUCUUAUGCAUUUAACUGUUUCUGCUUUUUUCCAUUACAUUCCAUCUUAUAAUAUUUUGUUUUUGUCCUUGCAUUGAAGGGCUUAUAUAAAUGUUGUCCUCAUUUGAUAUUAAAAUGUUUGGGCACUUCUAUAAGUAUCCGCUUUACACUUUCGUAUUUUUCUACUUCUAAGAAACUUCUAUUUUAAUAUUGUAAUACGUAUUCUAAAGUGAGAGUGGUAUAUAUAUAUAUAUAUAUAUAUAUAUAUAUAUAUAUAUAUAUAUAUAUAUGCUUCUGGAAGUACGGAACUCUUCGUGCUUCUAAGUUAUUUUCAAUGUUAGGACUUUCAAAUCGACGAUCGUCUUCGUUAGACUUGAUCUAGAGUAUUUGAAAUAUUUAGAAAAUAAAUUUUGUAAUUUUUCGAUAUCAUUUGCCUAGUGAUCGAGGGGGCUUAAAAUCAAUCAUUUUAAUGGCCGUGAUGAGUCGUUUGCCGGUUUAAUAGUGUAGAAAUAUUCAAAUCACGUGAAAUUUUGAUAAACAAUUUUUUAUACUAAAUAAAACAAUAUCAAUAUAUUUGAUCUAAAAUUUUAAUAUCAUAUCACCAUAUUUUGUAAGAUUUUUAUUUUCAGCCAUUGAUUUUGAGCCCUUUCGAUCACUAGGCAAAUUAUAUCGAAAAAUCACGAAAUUUGUUUUCUAGAUAUUUCAAAUACUCUAGAUCAACUCUAAUGGAGUUGAUUAUCGAUUCGAAAGUCUCAAUAUCAAAAACAACUUAAAAAGCACGAAGAACUCCGUGCUUCCAGAAGCAUACCAGCCUCACUCCUUAUUCUAUGCAUAAAUUGUAUUGUACGGUAAAGUAAUUUACUGUAAUAAUCAUUACUCUUAGAACCGGUAAAAAUGCAUAAAAAAAAUUUUGUUUUCCUCAAAUUAGAAAACUAAAUGAAAGAUGUUUCCCACUAUUUACUAAUUAACUUUCUUUUUCCCUCAUUUUUAAGAAUAAAAUGAGAAUGUUAAUAGCUAUGUAGCUGUACAAUACAUACUAUAUAUGCAUAACGGUGCAAAAUUGCACUUUUUAAACUUUGAUGGGUUAAAAUAUAUGUUUUAGAAGAUAGGGGGUAAUACACAAAAGAUUAAUAUUUAUGAGGGUGUUUUCUGCAUUUUAGAGCUCGUAACAUGUACACUAACAAUCCAAACUCAAAAGCUAAAUUAAGUAGAGAAAUGCUUGUACAAUAUAUCCGGAUCAAAAUUCUUAUUGGAUUCUUUCGGCUAAUAUGAAUAUAAUAUUCCUUACUUCGCAUUCUGGCAUGAAUUAGGUGAUACAAAUUCAAUAUGCAUAGGCAGAAGAGACCAGGUUGAGCUGAGUUACGUUCAAAAUGGUAGGAGGUCAGUGUGGACUAAAUCAUAUUCAAAGUGGCGUGAGACUGAUUGGGUCACAAUUGAAACCCGUAAGCGCUAUAUUUAUACGCUUUAUAUAAAUUUAAUGCAUAUUUCUAAAAGCCCGAGUUUUUUAGAUUAAUAAUUAACGUCAACAAUCCAUCACUAUUUGCAUGUGACAAUAAAUUGCUAAUUUAUAUACUAUUAGUAUAGACACAUGAACAAAGUCAUGUAUUAGGUAUUAUUAGCAAAUUAAUUUUAUGAAAUCAAAUUAAUAUCCACUUGCGACGCACCACUAACACCAUAUUGAAUGCUUCUUUAUUUGAAUGCAUAAAAGGACAACAUACAAGUGCCAAAUAAUUGCAUUAAGAUAUCAAAUUUCAUCCACAAGAUUUGGGUUGAAUGGAAUUGGAUUUAGAAAUUUUCUCUUAUCCUCCAAAUCGAUAUGUUAGAGGGUGUUAGAUUAACCAUGUCAUAUACACAGAAAAAGUUAUUAAUAAAUAAUAAAAAAAAUUAUGUUAAAAUGAAAUAGACUUAGAAUUAGCUGCGAUACUAUGUUAUCCAAUAAAAAGGGGAUAAUCUUAACAAUCUCGUCAUAUCCAAUUUGACUCACCAAAGUAAACAGCCUAUAUUUGAGGGGGGUCUCCAUAAAUUUUUUUUAUUAUUUAUUAAUAACUUUUNAAAAUGAAAAGAAAAAAAAAAAAAAAAAUCUAAACUUGAGUCCAAAAUAGUGUUUUGGACAAGAGCAAAGUGGUCCCAAUUUUUUAUUGUUAUUUAGCAAUUAAGUAGUUGAGUUCAAAAGGAGAAAAUUUAUAUGAUGCAUUUGACUGUUUCUUCUUCAAUCUCUUUGCAGCUUAUAAUAAUUUUGUUUUUGUGCGAGUGUGUACUGUACUCACAUUAGAUUGGGACUUUUGAUUGUACCAUAGUUUAUGCACUAAAAAUCCAAUUUUAAUAUAUAGAACUUAUUAUAGGAAAAAGUGUCUAACAUCGUAAACCAAGGAAUAAAGUAGGCUUCGUCUGUGACACCUUGCUUUUUAUAGAGGUCAUUCAUUUUAGCGCGACUCUAAUCAUAAUAUAUUUAAUUCUCUUAAACUUUUAAAUCUACUUAUCAGCCAAAAUAUUAUAGCCGCACUAAGAGAUUUAAUCUUACUGUAUAUCUUAUAUAUAAGAUUAUUUCAAAUUCUGUGGGUAUCACAUUCCUACUCCCUUUAAGUUCUGACAUUUUCGGCAGACUUAAGCAAUCUCACAAGUAUCAGGUGAUAUGAGAGUCAUCUUGCUAGCCUAGUUAUUCAGUCCGUCUGUUAUUCCUAAAUUCUGACUUAGCCUGUCAUUCAGAUCAUGACUCAGCCAAACCCAUCUCACUCUAGCUGGCUGAUAAUUGACUCUGAUAUCAUUGGUAACACACCUUGCUUUACAGAGGAAUCACCUGUCCUAGCACUAUUUUAGCCCAAAUAUGUUUAACCCUCGUAAUUUUUUGGGACUAACUACUGUCCGAAGUACUACAACCGGGUUAAAAAUUUAGCCCAAUUAUAUAUCUUACAUAUAUGACUAUUUUAAAUCCUGCAAGUGCCACGGUCCUACUUGGAUUCUUUGUGAGAUAUUUAUGAAAAAAAUUAUAGAAGUUAUUAGCUAGUCUUGUUAAAAACUGAGUUAUGAAGUGUAAAAUUACUUAAAUUCUAUUUCGUCCAAAUAUAUAUUGGAGUCUACAGUUUCAUAUUGUUACGACAAACGCACAAACGGAAACGAAAAUGACGAACACGAAAUAAUCAAACCACAAAUAGAAAUAAAAGAGAGUACACAAAUUUACGUGAAAAAUUCUUUGCAGAAAAAAAUUACUGGCGAGGGAGGAGAAAGCUUCACUAUCGAAAAAAAGAAUACUAGGUUCGAGUACAACCCACACGAUAUGUUGCCUCUAGGGCAAAAACGAGAAAGAAAAAUUCUUAAUGGGUUUCGGAUCUGAUCCCUCCGCUACCCACCACAAACAUUCAUUUUUUUUCGAUAACUUAUUUUUCAAAUCGAUCGCACCGCAAAACUAUCGGCGAGUCGAAGUUCGAUCCGAACUGAAGUCGAUUAUCAAUUUCGAGUCACAUCUAAUACAUAUAUUAAGAGCAUAAGUAUUGUGACAUUAUGUUGCUCUCACAAGUUGAGUUUCACUGCUUUCACAACUCCUCCGGAUUAUUUUAUAUAGCUCCUAGUUAUUUUUUCAUUCAAAUUAGCACAUGGUAUAAAACCAAAUCGAGUUCCACACAUUAGAUACCACUAAGGGACCAUUUGGUUAAAUAUAAUUAUAAAUGCAGUGUAGUUAAAAAUGCAUGCAAUUAAAAAUAUAGCAGUUAUAACUAUAUGAAUCAUAUUUAGUCGGAUGUAGUAGAAAGUGCUGCAAGUAUAAAUAAUUUGUUUGGUUGCAUACAGUUGAAAAAUAAUUUUUAAAAUUUUAUUAUUUCAUAUAUAUAUAUAUAUGAUGGUGAGAUUACCUCCAAUGUAAAAAAGAAAAAAAAAAAAAUUUUGAGAGAUAGGUAGCACGCUACCAGCUUCGUUUAUUUUAUUUAGAAAUAAACUUAGCAAGAAAUAUGAAUCAACUAGGAUUCAAACUUGAGCCUCGGGUACCAACCACCGAGCCCUUUGCCACUUGCUCUGGCGACGGUUGGUAAAGGAAAAUAAUUUUUGUUUAAAAAAUAUUGAGGAGGUAAGCAUACCUCUUAUUUAAAAUUAUUCUCUCCAACUGCUGUAGUUGGAACUGCGGCCAAUUUAGGCAUAGUUCGAACUGCUAUAGUUGGGCAUCCUCCUGCAGUUCCUACUGCAGCAGUUGGAGUUAAAUAUAUCAAACCAAACACGAAAUUUAUAUUUAUAUGCAGUUACAAUUACAGUACAGUUACAACUACAUGCAACCAAACGGCCUCUAAAAGUCGUGGAUCCUGGCUCUGAUCAAGAAAGUUUUGUGCAAACCCGAAAGCGCCCUCCUAACAGAUAUAGAACUACUUGAUAUGGUAUAUUUUAUCCCUAUCUCAUCUAUUUUAAAUUUAAAUAGAAUCCUAAUCAGACUUUGAUGGGAAGUCGAUCUGGACUCUAUAUAAAGAGGUAUUGAUCCUGCCACCUUCUCAUAAGCAUUCUGGUGAAGAAUUACCAUCAGUUCCACACCAUACGACAGAGUGCCUGAGAUAGGGGAAGAAACCAAAUCACCCAAGUUCGAUUCGUGACUUUCAGAUCGUAGCCGGACUUCCAGCUUCCGCAAGAUUACUCAAGAAUCUCUUCUCUAUGGCGCUCUGUGAGUUAUCGUAUUUUUAUUUUUGAUCCUGGAUUUGGUAUGUAUUUAUUUUUAUUUAUUUUACAUAUCUUGAGAUUCCAUUAAUUGGAACCAACUAAAAAGCUUACAUUAAUAGAUGAAAAAUUCUUGCACAUUAAGCAUGUGAUUAAGAUGACUCUUCUUUUCCUCCUCCUUUGUUUAACCUCUUGUGGUCUCUUCUCGUUUCUUCUUCUUUCAUUCCUUCUCCUUUUUCUUGCUUGUUAGGAAACACUUAGAAUUAUAGAUAUCCUCAGAAGUGGAGUUUGAAAGAUCGAGAGGCCCGUUGCGAUCGCGUCGGUGCAGCUCAUAGUCAGGAGUAAGAUAGAUCGUAAGCAAGAUCUGGAUAAUUAUUUCUUUUUUAAUUAAGUUCUUUUUUAUAAUAAAGUUUUAAAAACUAUAUAAUUAAUGAACCCUCCAAUAAUAAAAUUAUAAAAUUAUAAAAAAAAAAAUGGGUGGUUUGUGGGGUCCCACGCUUGAUUUCUCCACUUUUUUAUCUUCCUUUGAUUGAAAGAAUCAUGAAAAAGUACAAAUGUCACUUGAUAUAUUUAUCAAUUAUCACUGUUACAGCUACAAGUUCGUGUGAUUUCGUACUUUCUCACCCUAUGUGAUUUCGUAUUUUUUUAUUGUAGUACCCCGUAAUUUAAAGUGUAUCAAAUUAAUAUUAUGUGGUUUCGUAUUUUCUUAUUUUAGCACUAUGUGGUUUAAAGUAUAUCAAGUUAGUGAUUUCGCACUUUCUCACUUUAGUACCCUAUAGUUUAAUAUUUCGUUAAAUUAUAUAUAAAAAACUUCAGAUACCCCAUCUAGAUUUAUCGAAUAUUCAUUUUAAUACCCUUUAGUUUUAACUUUGUCACUAAUUUAACAAAAAAAAAUACUCCAAAAUAGAUAAUAAAAAAAGAAAAAUGAAAUCACAGGGUAGUAACUUAAUACAAAAAUAAAACUACAGAAUACAAACUUGAUACACUUUAAACUAUAGGGUACUAAAGUGAGAAAGUGCGAAACCGCAAGGUAUUAACUUGAUACGCUUUAAACCACAGGAUACUAAAGUAAAAAAGUAUGAAAUCAUAGGGGGGUAUUUGAAGUUUUCCUUUAUUUAUUUAUUACAAAGGCAGCUAUAUGCCUCGCAUAUUCUUACCAAACACAAGCGUUUUCGUGUCGAACUCAUGUUCAAUGCAAACACGCUAUAAAUGCACAUUUAUAGUGUAUCUAAUUAAAAAUAUAUAUUUUUAUUUAUUUAUUUUUAUGUAUAUAUCAUGUAAUAUGACAAAUAUUUUAAUUUUUGGUUAAUGCAUGUAAAUUUUUAUUUUGACGAUAUAAGUAAAUUAUGUGUGGUGAAAUUUUUUUAAAAUAUAUGAACUAUCAAUAAAAUUUUUAUCAUCUCUUAUUCCUAUAGAAAAUAGCUUAAGCCGUAGGAGUCUGACAUGACUCGAACUCAAAACCUUCUGCUCUGAUAUUAUAUGAAACAAUCGUUGUACUCUAAAAACUUAAGCUAUUAGAGAACGAUGUUUAAAUAAUUUUACAUUCAACACUCCCCCUUGGGGGGGGGGGGGGCUCAAGACUUUUUUAGUCAGCCCAUGACGUGGGCUUGAAUUAAAUAGGAGAAAUUAAUAUGCUAGGAGCCUGGCGUGACUCGAACUCAUGACCUCCUGCUCUGAUACUAUAUGAAACAACCGUUGUACUCUAAAAGCUUGGGCUUGAAUUAAAUGGGAGAAAUUAAUAUUGAUGUCCACUCCAUUCGUGUUCUGAAUUUUUUUUGAAACCAUCCGGUUACCGUGUUCAAGUCAUGUUGUGUCUCCUGUUCCAUAUUCAUGUACACCCACAUUUUGUUUUUCCUCGAAAGGUGAGCCUUAUGUUUUGAUACUCAAUUUUAAUUAAGAAUAUAAUUUGUUAGAGACCUACACAAAUAUAUUAUUUGUUAGACAAAUAAAUAAAAUAUUUUUCUACCAUAUUUUUUUACCACACAUAACGCAUAUUCUCUAUGUCGAUUGAUAAUUAAUUUGACAAUUAGUUUUUUGUUUUACCAUUCACAAUUGGUAUCUCAAAGUUUCAUUUUUUUUUUCUUGUUUAUAAGAUUUGGUCAUCCAUAAUUUGAUAAAAUAGUAUGGUAUUUUAUACAUUUGAUCACAAUUCUCAUCUAUCAAAUACUAUAUAUUUUUUACGUAAAAUAAAAAAAAAAUAUGUCAAAUAAAAUAUUUAUAUAUCUAUUUCUUGGGAAAAAUGUACAAAGACCUAGUUGACCUUCAGCUAUUUUGCAAUUAGCCACCUAAACUUUCAAUUUUAGCAAUUCCAGUGCCUAAACUCUAUCAAAUAGUUUAGCAUACCCCUAUUUUCAAUUGAAAUUACUAAUUAUACAACUGUUUUGAUUAUAUAUUUUGGAGAUAAACUUGUAAAGCAUCAAAAUCUGAAGAAACUUAUUUUUCUUCCCUUCUAAUGUUGAUAAUUAAGCAUAAGAAUUAAUAAUUAAGCAUAAGAAUUAACGAAUAAGACGAACCAAUAGUUAAUAGAAAAAAAAUAAAAUUUUAAAUAUUUGUAAGAUUAUAUACAACACAUACAACCAAAAUGAUCGUAUAAUUAGUGAUCCUAAUUUAAAUAAGUGAUCUAUUGAACUAUUUUAUAAAGUUUAGCGGUCUAAUUGUCAAAAUUAAAAUAUCAAGGGGUCUCUGCAAAAGAGAAAAAGGUCAAGGGGUCUCUGUACAUUUUUCCUUUUUUUCAACAUUUUUAAUAUAAUAAAAUUACCGUACGAAGCCGCUGUAACGGGCGGGAAAUUUGCGCCGCACCAAACAUCCGCCCAUUUCGCGACCGAACCGGUCCCACCAAACCCGGCCCGGCCCGCUUCGAGACCGAACCGAGUCCCGAACCCGACCGGUGACCGGCCCAACUGGGCCGGUUCAUGAUAUUCUCACCCCAAAUUUCUUUUUCUUAUUCCUCCCACUUUUUAAUAGAUUUAAAAAUAUAUAUAUAUAACUUAUCUAAAUUAUACACUAUUUUAAAUCAGCUAUUCAAUAUUUCAAGAUUUCUAUUUUGCUAUCCAUCUUUCCAGUUGAUUAAUUUGAUUCUGUUAAUGACACUUUUAUUUUAAAAUUUAAAUGUAUCGUUUAUCUUUACAAAUUUAGCUAUUAUAUUAAUUUCAUGCAAUUCUCGCAUUAUAAAUUUUUUAAAAAUAAAUAAUUAAUUUAAAUUUUAAAGUCAAAAAUGCCAUUUACAGACUCAAAUCAAUAAAUUAAAAAGGUGGUCAGUAAAAUUAAAAGUUUAAAAGAUUGAAUAGCUGAUUUGAAAUGGUUCAUAUUUACGAGAAAUUAUGUACAUUUUCAUACUUUUAGUAAGGAAAGGAACAAUGUAAUGAAAACCCCUUAACUAUGCAACUUUAAAUUGCCCCAAAACUUUUGCACUGAGAUUCCUGAACUUUCCAUUCCUUUUUUGGUAUUAAAUGAUACUUUUUAAUAACUUCUUUAUUAAAUGUAUUGAUAAUUUUGUCCAUGUAAAUACUUUUAAUAUAUUUUUUAGCAAAAAAAGGUAAUUUUAACUUAAUUAAUUAAGUUAAAAUUAUGCACAUUAUUUACCAAUACUUUUAACAUAAUUAAGUAUUACAACUCAAAUAAAAAAAUAAAUAAAACAUAAGAAUGUGUCGAUCCAAAAAAAAAAAGGAUAAUUUCAUACACAUACGUACAAAGUUUUAAAAAUACGAGUUUAUUCCUGUAAAACUGUUCAAAUAUAUUCUUCUAAAACUCUAUAAAACUUUUACCAUUUGGACAAUUAUGCGCGUGUUAAAAAAUAAUUUUUACAAAAAAAAUUUUAGGAUUUAUAAUUUAAGGUUCAAGUAGAACAUGAUAUCUCUUUAGAGAUAUAUUUUGAAAACUAAUAUUUUGUAGGAUAUAUACUAAUAAUUUCAUUCCUUUGUAGGAAUACAAAUCCAAAAAAAUAAUAAUAAAGUCGAGGGGCUAAUUUCAAACGCAAUGCAGUUUGCGGGGUACCUAUGCAAUUUACGUACAAACUAGAAAAGAAGGUUAUCCACUUUUUUCUUAAAUCAUUAAUGAAUAAUAUUAUAAGAGAAUAUUCAAGGGUAGGUAUUAAAAAUAUUCUAGUUAUUUUUCAAAGAUCUAAAGUUUAGUUUACUUACAUACAUUUUUUAUCUUAUCCUUAAAAAAAGUAGAAAAUAAAAGCUGAGGGGCUUGUUUCAAAUAUGUCUAAGGUUAAGGGGGUCCGUACAAUUUUACCCAUAAAAGAGACAUAUUUUUUUCUAAAAAAAAAAGGAUUCUGUCACCAACAAGUGGCAAGAUUUUCAGGAAGGAGACAGGGACCUUAUUUAAUAAUAAUUAUUAAUUUUUUAAUCACAAUUUAAGGAAAGUUACUUAAAAAAAAAUAGUUAUAGUUGAAAUGAUCCAAGUGCAAUUAUUGCAUUUCAUUUAAUUAAUGUAUUAAUUACCAAAUUGGAGUACUCCACAAUUCAUUAUUAAUAAUAAUACACAAGAAGACAACCUACUAAGAUUUUUUUUUUUAAUAUCAAGGUAAAUUGUAUGAAGUCCCUCAACAAGAAGAUAUUUUGAAAUGGCCUCCUCAAAAUAUUUUUUUUGAAAUAUUUCACCAUUAGGAAAUAAGUAAUUUGUAAGAAUGAUCAAAAAGAGAUGUCUAUUAAACUAUUUAAUAAAGUUUAAAAAAUAUAAUUAUUAAAAUAUAAAGUUCAGGGGGAGGUUUGGACAUUUUACCCUUAACUUCUUAUUAUAACCUCAAUAAAUUUUAAUUAUUUUAAUUAUUGCAAAAAUAUAUCAUUAUAACAUAAUUUUAUUGGUUUUUAUAAAAAUAUUAUUAAUUACGUUUUUGUAAGAAAAUGCUACUUUUUAAGAUAUUUCAGAUUAAAUCUGAAUUUUUAGUAAAUUAACUAAAGUAUUCUUAUUCCACUUUCUCUCUCAUUUUCUCUCUCAUUCAUUUUUCUUCGCCCUCUUGUCUCUCUUCUUCUCGCUAUACCUUUCUCUCUUUCUUCUCUCGCUUUCUCUCCCUUCCUUAUACUCCUCCACCACCCCACGUAGAUGCCACACUACUCUCUUCUACUUCGCCCACACCUCCACCAACGCCGGCUGUAACAACGCAAGCUCGUAUAUGAAAUAGAUCGCAGAGGUGAGGCUACAGUGAGGGGAGCCGACGUGGAUGAUAAUGACAACGAGGGUGUCAUGGAUUUUGAGAACGAGGGAGAGGGAAAGCAUAUGAGUGCAGGGGCGGCUGCCAAGAUAGAGGGUGAGAAAAAGGGUGUGGUAGCGAAAAAUAAUGUAGAAGGUAGAAGAGAAAGACGAAAAAACAAGAAAAAAAAAAAGUAAAAAAAUAAAAAUAUAUAUUUUUCUUCUUCUAGGAAGGUCACCACGUGCCACUACCGCUAAAAAAAGGCCAACAAGCAGAGAAGAAAGAAGAAAAAGAAGUAAAAAUUACACUGUUUAAAAUAAAAUUGCACUGCUUGUGGCCAAGUUGUACUAUUUGAGACUUAAGUUGCAUUAUUUAAAACUAUUUGAGACUGAGUUGCAACUUUUCAAGCAGUGCAACUUAAGUCUUAAAUAGUGCAAUUUUUAAUUAUUUUUGUAGUGCAAUUUAAUCUCAAAUGGUUUUAAAUUGUGCAAUUUAUCCUCAGAAAUGCAACUUAAUCUCAAAUAAUAUAAUUUCGUCUAAGACAGUGGAACUUCUCCUUCUCCCUUUUCUUUACUUUUUGACCUUUUCUGUAGCGGCCACUGCACAUUAUGACCUCUGAGGAGAAAAAAAUGUGUUGUUUUUUCUUUUUCAUCUUCUUUUUUCUUCUCUUUUUCUCAUCCUUUGCAUUCUUUUUUGCUACAGUGCCCCCUCCCACGUCUUGUGCCGCAGCCGCAGUCCCUAUCCCCGCCCCAACACCCUCUUCCUCCCCAUCAUCCUCAAAUCCUACAGCAACCUCGUUGCCGUCGCCAUCGCCAUCACCAUCAAUGGCCGCAUUUUUCGCCACAACCUCACCCCCAUGAUCUGUAGCAAAUUCGAGCCCGCAUCUUAUCAUCAGCGUUGGCGGAGGUGCGGGUGAGAUAGAAGAGAGGAGCAGGCGUCUAUGUCGAGGCAAUGGAGGAGGAAGAGAAAAGAAAUGAUGCAAGAGAAGAAAAAGAGGCAAGAACAACGAGAAUGAGGGAGAGGGCAGAGAAAAAUGAACGAGGAAAAAAAAAGAAGAAUAAGUGUAUUUUGAUCAGUUUACAAAACAUUUAAACUUAAUAAGCAAAAUUUAAAAAGUAGUCUAUNAUAUAUAUAUAUAUAUAUAUAUAUAUAUAUAUAUAUAUAUAUAUAUACAUAUACAUAUAUAUGUAAAGUAGGACUACUAUACUCUUAUGAGUAUAGCCCCCUUUGUACUCAUAAGUUUUCAGCCGUUAGAUGAAUGAAUGUGCGGUUAGGAUGGCAGUGGUUCCCGGUUAAGAUGAUAGUAGUCCCCUAAGGUUGAGUGAAUUGUUGGUUAAAUAGUUUGAUCUAACAGGUGAAAAUGGUCAAAGGGGUAGAUCUAAUGGUAAAAAAUUUAUGAGUACAAAGAGGUCUAUAUUCAUAAAAGUAUAGUAGCCGGAUUCAUAUAUAUAUCAUAUAGAGAGAAAUAGAAAGUCCUUAUACUCUUAUAAGUACGAUCGACUUUGUACUCAUAAGUCUUUUCAAUGAUAGAGCUUUUGAACCAACGAUCCAUACCGUUAAAUAUAAUUUAGAGCAUUUGAAACUUCUAGAAAACAAAUUUCAUAUUUUUUUUAUAUCAUUACCGAAUAAUCAAAAGAUUUCAAAAUUGAUAAUUUUUAAUAACAGGUAUGGGACGCUCGCUAGUUUAACAGUAUGAAAUAAUCGAAAUGGAUUGAAGUUUUGACAGAAAAUUCUAUUCACUACGUAGGUAGAGAUCUAUAAAUCCGAUCUUAAAUUGAAGAAUAUGAUUCUCUAUUUUUAAGAAAUCGUUCAAUUUUGAUCGGGCAUUUUAUGACCGCUUGAUGGAUUUUAUUAUAAUUUCGAAAAAUUACGAAAUUCAUUUUUAAAAUGAUCUAGACCAUUUAAGCGAUCUGAAAAUCAAAUUUGAUACUUUUUUAAUAUUAUUCUCUUGUCCAUCAAGUGAACAUAAAAUAGAUGGUUAAAAAUAAAUAUCCUUCAAAAAGUAAUGAUACAACUUUUAUAUUCAAGAUUUAGAUCUUGAUUUAAAUUAUUUAAAGAAUUUUCUAAUAAAAAUCUAGUUAAUUUGGACUCUUGUAUAUCGUUAAACGAGCAAACGCACUGUACCGACUAUUAAAAUUAUACAUUUUGUAACCCAUUGAUCGUUUGAUUAGUGAUAUCAGAAAAGCAUAUGGGGCCUAUUUCAAAAUCUCUAUAGUUGCAGGGGCAUCCAUAAAAUUUUACCUUAAAUAGGAUGUUAUCACCAACAACCGGCCUGAUUUAUAGGAAAGUGAAAGGGACCUUAUUUUAAUAAUUAGUUUCUUAAUCACCCUUUAAGGAAGGUUACUUAAAAAGGUAGUUACAUUUGAAACCAUCUAAAUAAAAUUAUUGAAUUUGAUUUAAUUGUCGUAUUAAUUACCAAAUUGGAGUACUCCACCAUUCAAUGUUAAAAUAAUACGCAAGGCGACAACAUUCUAAGUAGUGAUGCAAAUGAAAAAAAAUUAAUCCAUUCCGAAUCCACCAAUUAAGAAAGAAAAACUUCAAAUAUCAUUUCUGUGGUUUCAUUCAUUCUCACUUUAGUACCCUAUAACUUAAAAUGUAUCAUUUUAAUACUAUAUAAUUUUAUUUUUUUCUUCCCACUUCGGUCGAGUGUUUGUGCCUGCUCUUACCUACCGUAGGACCUCCGUCCGCGAAGCGAAGAAAGAGGAGUAGGAACAAGAGGUUGGAAGAAAGCAGGUAUAUGAAAAUUCAAAUUUGACAGCUGACGAUGGAUCGCUAUUUUCUGAUCCGCUAUCCACUCCGUUAUUUUUUUUAUUAUAUCAGUUAUAAAAUUAAAAUUACAGAGUAUUAAAGUGAUACACUCUACGUAAGAGGUAUAUAUCUUAAACCCCUUAAAUCCACAUAUUUAUAAUAAAAAAAAUUUAGAUUUUUAAUAUUAAAAAAAUUGAUAUGGCAGAAAAAAAGAACCCAGCUUGUCAAAAAUUAGACUAUAAAAUUUACACUAUAAAAUUAGUUGCACAUGUAGCACUGCUCAACAAAUAUCUCAACUUCACCAAUUUGUUGACUUUUCAAUUGGGUAGGUUUUUUCUUCUUUGUUAUUAUUAUUAUUUUGUAUUAAUUAUAUAUAGUUUUAUGUAAAUAUAUCGAAUAGCAAAUAUAUUUUCACAAAGUUUAAGUUUUUAUUUUUAUUCCUGCAAAAGUUCUACCGCUUUCAAAUAUAUUAUUUCUUUUUAGGAUCCGUUAGACAAAUAUAGUUAACCGUGAGUAAAAUAUUCAAUCCUGGUUAGUAAAUGGGUUAAAUUGACAUUUUUACUCUUCUUAUAUUAUUAGGUAAAAUAUUUUUUGGGAAGAACAUUUUUAUAUAAUUCAAACAGUUGGGAUUUUUGAAAAAAUAUAUUUGUAAGAGUAAAAAUAUCAUUUUAUUUAUCUGCUUUUAAAAAAUAAACAAUGCUAUAGCAAUAACAAAUCAAAGAAACAAAUAUGAAUAUUACUGAAUUUUUAUAGAGAGAAAAUAAAAAAUUAAAUUUUAUAGGGAUAUGUUUACUAUUCAAGAUGUUUACAGAAAACUGCGUGCAAUUUUUUUUUUUCUUUUUUUUUUGCCAGGUGGCAACCAGGCAUGGCAUGAUGUUGAUGUGACCUCCUCCGCAAGGCCGGCUUAUUUUAGGCCAGGAUAAUUUCACAUGUAUCACAUUUAAUUUUAUAAAAUUUAGUUAUUUAUUAUUAUAUUUUUUGAAGACUCCAAAUAUAUAAAUUUAUUUCUACAUGUUGGCUUUGCUAGUUGACUGUAAAAAUAGUAGUUUUUAGACCAUUGCACUCUUAUAAAAAAAAUAAUAUGUUUCCUAUAAUUUUUUUUAAAAAAAUUAUAAUUUAUGGUUUACAUAAAAUAACAAAAAAGUUAAAAAUAGAAAUAUUAGGAAUAAUAAAUAACAUUAAACAUAAUCGAAAAUUUUAUUUUAACGUGUCAACUAACGAAAUAGGAGUCCGGCUACUAUACUAUCGAUAGCACGGAGCGCUCCGUGCUACCAAGUUGUUUUCGAUGAUGCGACUUCUAAAUCGACGAUCGGCUCCGUUAGACUUGAUCUACACUAUUAAAAAUAUUUAGAAACUAAAUUUCAUAAUUUUUCGAUAUCAUUUACCUAUCAAACAAGUAGUCUAAAAUUGAACGACUGAAAAUAAAAAUCUCAUAAAAAAUAAUGAUAAAAGAUUUAAAUUCAAGAUCAGAUAUACUGAUCUUACUCUAAAUAGUGAAAAGAAUUUUCUAUAAAAUUUUCAUCGGAUUUGGAUUGUUUUACACCGUUAAACUCACAAACACACCACAUCGGCCAUUAAAAUUGUCAAUUUUGAGAUCUUUUGAUCACUAGUCAAAUGAUGUCGAAAAAACCUGAAAUUUAGUUUUCAAAUACUUUCAAUAGUGUAGAUCAAGUUUAACGGAGCCGACCGUCGAUUUGAAAGCCGCAUCAUCGAAAACAAGUUGGUAGCACAGAGCGCUCUGUGCUACCGAUAGUAUAGUAGCCUAGUUCACGAAAUAGAAUAUAUUG
Molecule: long non-coding RNA, 56665 nt
Filed under: Ananas comosus (pineapple)
Lineage: Eukaryota; Viridiplantae; Streptophyta; Magnoliopsida; Poales; Bromeliaceae
Description: long non-coding RNA (ACOM_LNC001224)
Source: RNAcentral